This 63927-nucleotide long non-coding RNA is filed under the name Sorghum bicolor (sorghum). RNAcentral's name for it is "long non-coding RNA (SBIC_LNC000032)". The stretch from base 33560 to 33667 matches the Rfam family "MIR5565 microRNA precursor family". Lineage: Eukaryota; Viridiplantae; Streptophyta; Magnoliopsida; Poales; Poaceae. The record is from RNAcentral.
GUGAAGGGAGUACUUUUUUUUAAACUUCAAUACAACUAUAUAUUGGGGGUGGAUCAAAGUAGAGCUACACAAGCCCUCAACGACAGGAAGAAAACAGAGCUCAUGUUCAGUUUACACGGUCGGGACGAGGAACACUGCCAGCUGCUUUUGCUUGAGAGAAGAGCGACAAGAUUUGCCUCCAUUCCCACAAUCUUCUGUUAAGAUCCGGAGAGCAAUGCAAGUACACCAACUGAUGUGUGCAUCUGCCAUCCUUGGCGAUUGGCGUGCGAUUAUUCAGUGCAUGCAGUAGCUUUGGCAACCCGUCCAUUCUGCAGCAGGAAACGCUGUCUGACAGUCUGAGCAGAUCCGAUCCUCGAUCGGACGGCGCGACGCAACCGUCCAUGGAAUGGAAGCUUCUGGCGUGAGAGCUAGUAUCUCGAGCGGAAUCAUAGGCACCAGCAAGGCAUCAAGUGAGUUGUCGUGCUGUUGCUGAUGCUCUCAUCAGUUCAGUUCAGUUCAGUUGAGGAUAUUCGUCUGUUCGUCAUGCAGUGAGCUCCGAUAUGAUCCAGAAUAAUGGCAGCUGAGCUGAGAGGCUCAUCAUCAUCAUCAGCUGGAUUGAUAAGAAAAUUGCUGCGGCGACCUCGGAUCGGCGGCAGUCGUUGACAUUUGCGAAAUGAUUGAGACCUGAGAGUGUAUGACGCGUGCAACGGCCGUCGUUGUCUAGCUGAAGCUGAACUCCCUUUUUUUCAGGUAGGUAAUGAGGUAAUCCGAUGAACUUGAACUCCUGACAGCUAGCGUCCAUAUAAAUGAAAAAAUAGAUACCCGCCCAUUCACACGAAGAAUAUAUAUUCAGCGAGACUUUAAUAUUAGGUUAUCAUCCCUUGACAUAACCAUUGGAGUAUGUAUCUUUGAAUAAUCUGAAAGAGUGUUUGCUGCUCUGUCAAGCAGUUGAAUCGGCUGAGGUUAUCGAGUUCGUCUUCAAGCUUGUAGCUCUGGACAAUCCAAAACGUAACGCAACCGUCAUAUCAUUUGUUGUUCGCUGCAUGUAGUUUUUGUUUUAAUCUCGUGCUCUUCUGACUUUUGGGCGUUCACAGCUGACAAAAAUCUGGCCUUAAAACAUAUAUACAGACUCAUGUAUCUUGGAUGCACAUACUAAGCAGGGACCAUGCGUACUAGAAGAAUGCUCCGUGCUUUGUGAUUAUUCUGCUCAAAAUACAUGGGCUCUAAAAAAAGCAAAGUUUCUUGGACAGUGCAGUGUUGUGUACUCUUAAUGUUUGUUGUGUUGUUAUUACUCCAGCAACAAGGCAACAAAUUUCCUCGAAAAAAAAAGGCAACAAAGAUAAAAUCCGUUAGGUUUUUUUUUUUGAGAAUCUCAAACUUUAUUAACUAGUCUGAGAAUAAGAAGUACACACGUCCUUCGGCGCACUGAUAAGCCAAACAUAUCUAUCAAUUGUCUCAUACAGGGAGCCUCUUGCUAGAGCAUCCCCAUUAGCAUCCGACCUUCAUGAACAAACUCAACUGAAAGUGAAACUAUCUCCUCGUGCCUUGAUAUCUUGAAUUACAUGGCCAUAAGAUCCAAAGCCUUUGCCUCGGAUAUUUCUAACAACAGUGAUAUUAUCAUAAGCCACCCUAAUUUUUUGUAGCAACAAAUCUGAUGCGAGCGCAAGGCUCUCUCUACACGCUACUGCCUCCAUGAUUUCAGGAUUAGAAAUACCUUCAGUUACUACAACUGAAGCUCCAACAAACAUGCCUGAGGAGUCUCUUGCCACUACCGAAGCUGAUGCCUUGCUCGAAUUCUUCGAUAUGGCAGCAUCGACAUUUAUUUUCAUGAUGCCCGCUGGCGGAGGGAUCCAUGGUGCCUCUUGUACAUUCUGGUGUUGAUGACUUGCCCCUAGAGGAGCUGACUGUUUCACAAGUUCCAGAUCCGACAUGAAACUCUUAACAAAACAGUGCGUGGAUAGAGAAAUUCUCAUAAACAACUUGUCUCUUCGCGUACCAAUAGCCCACAAAGUAACUAGUACCCGUGUAAGAUCUUCAUGCUUCAAGAUAGUUAUUAUAGUAUGUAACCAACCUCGAGCAUCCUGAACUGGUAUGGUGCAUAAAUGUUCAGUGAUAUCCUCCCUUUCCAAAGCCUAUACACACUUUGCCAUAUGACAGUUUAUCAAAGAAUGUUUCCAUGAGUCCAAAGCCCUGCAAAUGGCAUAAGUGCUUUGUGCCUUCAAAUUCCUAUGAUGCAAGACAUCCCCACAAGGAAGAGAUUGUCUAGCUAAUCUCCACAGGAACACCUUAAUCUUCGACGGCACCUGGACAUGCCACAACACAGUCCAUUCCUUCUCGUCUGCCUUAGUGCUUGAUCUUCCCGCCACACUAUCAGAGCAGGCCGUUAUAUUAUUUUUCCUGAGUACUAGCAUCCUAUAAGCUGAACGGACUGUGAAUAUGCCAUUUUUUUAUCAAAUCCGUUAGUAAAAAGAAAAGCAUAAAUUUCGUACCCGCUAGGCCCAUGCGAUAAAUUAUUGAACGAUGUGAUGUGCUGAGCGCUAAAUUCCCGGCCCCGUUUCCCGCAGGGUGGGCACACUGGGCCGUUUAAGGAAGAUAGCCUAGCCUCCUGAAAGGGUUUGGGCCGCUUGUGGGCUGUGCCACUGGCCAGUCUGAGAUCAUUUCCAACGCUCCCAUCCAAAAAAACACCGGACUUCCCUUAAAAAGAAAAAAAAUCCAAAGAACACCGGAUCUCUCUCUCUCUCUCUCUCUCUCUCUCUCUAUAUAUAUAUAUAUAUAUAUAUAUAUAUAUAUAUAUAUAUAUAUAUAUAUCUUAGUUUUCUGAAUUUUGAAAUGAUUUCAGACAAUAUUCUUGUACUACCAACUAGUCCAAGUGAAUUUUUACUUUGGUAAUUUGUUACUUAUCUUUGUGUCAUAACAUAUUAAAUUUUUAUCCUUACUUAUAGAAAAUAAUUAUAAAUUGUUAAUUAUCUUUGUGCCAAAACAAAUAAGAUAUCUCGAGUUUGUGGUUUUGUCUAAUAGUUUUUUUAAUUCUUGGAAAAUUGCAGAUUGCACCUACACACAUUGCAAUGAAUGAAAUCGGCAUUCAGCAAAAAAAAAAAACUAAUAUAACCAUCGCCCGUCGUCUGAAAUGAAAAUAAAAUUAAGGCACCUAAAUUUUAGCAAAUUUCCUUUUUUCCCCUAAAAUAAAAUUCAGGCACCUGAAUUUUAGCAAAAUUUUCUCCCCCCCUAAUAUAAAAGGAAAUAAGAAAGGACCUUUUUUGAGGGAAAAAUAACAUGAAUACGUUCCCUCUCUUUUUGUGCUUGUCUUCGGCCGUGCCUCGUGCUUUUUCCCCUUUCUUGCAUAGUCCCUUCGUCCCCAAAUACUACUAUUUCUAGCAUAUUUCAGACAGAUUAGUGUGGCAAACAAAAGACCAUUCUAUCCUCAAUUAAUUUAGGUUCCACCAUUUAAUUAUGCACGUUAAGCCAUGGUUCUCUGGUUCCAACGAGCUGUAUUUAAUGCAAACUAAACAGACUAGAUCAAUUACCAUGCGUCAAAGUACUACUCCCUAGAAGAAAUUAAAUAGGUUGGUGGACUAUGAAAGUUCCAAGGAGAAAUUAAAUGAGCUGGUGGAGUGAGUAUGUUAGUAGAAAUAACAGUAUUUGUGGAUAAAAUAUUCUUCUAGAAAUAGCAGUAUUUAGGGACGUAGAGAGUACAUAUACACGGGAGUCGAAUUUGUUGAUGCCUAUAACAUUAUCUUUAACCAUCAUCACCCAAAAUACAAGACUAAUUUGUUUUUUUGGGUAGCGCUAUAGAUAAAAGGUUUCAUACCUACUUUUAGUCUUCUCCGUCAACAAGAUCUUAAAAAAAAAAACACUUUCUAUAAAUGGGUCUCAGGGAGAGAUGAUAUCUUAAAUUUGAGUUAUGCCUCUCAUAAUACAUAAAUGGUUAUUUUGUAUGAAUACUUUUUUAGAGACUAUAGGUAUUGUGUUGGAGAUAUAUUUUAUUUUAUAUCCGGUUAGAGACAGCCUAAUGUAAGCGGUCUCGGCACGGACUCUUUAGGUACAAACAAGUACAUUCAGAUGACGAGGGAAGCAUGUUUGUGCACGAUUCUUUGUCAUAAAAAAACAUGUUAUAUUUUUAUUUUAGAAAACACGUGAUAAUUAAUGAAUGUAUUUAAGAGUGACUAUUAUUUCAGCCGCAGUACCUUCGAAAAAUGAGAGAGAAAAGGCGAACCUUUGUGAUAUGUAGAUUUCAUUUUGGGAGACGAAGUGAUUCGGCCUUGUUUACUUCCAAAUUUUUUUGCAAAAUAUAAAUAAUAGAUUUUUGUUUGUAUUUGACAAAUAUUGUCCAAUUAUGGACUAACUAGGCUCAAAAGAUUCGUCUCGUCAAUUCCGACCAAACUGUGCAAUUAGUUUUUAUUUUUAUCUAUAUUUAAUACUUCAUGCAUACGUCUAAAGAUUUGAUGUGACAGAAAAUCUGAAAAAAUUUGCAAAAUUUUUAGGUACUAAACAAGGCCGUACUAUGUUUGCCGCUUCUAAUUAAUCCAGCUAUCUCUUUGGAUGACAAGCGAUGCGUCCAUCACCGGCGAGUUGAUCACUCUGACUUUAUUUAACCUAAAGAUUUAUUACUACUAGCCUAGUUAGAAUUGGCGUGCUCGGCGUGUGCAAGUAUAUUCAAACUACGUAUAUUAGUCUGAAAACAUGUGUCUUUGAAUUGUGCAAGUACGUUUUCUGCCAACUAAUAUAUACAAUGCUUUUAUAAGUUUUAUUUAAGAAUACAUUAAUUAACUAGUACUAGAGAGGCUAACGAAGUCUUUCAUAUCCCUCACUUAAACCAGUCAGGACAACUUCUUAAUUUGUGAGAUUAACGGUGGGCCCAGUUCCUGAUUGGCUAACCUCUUGCUCGCAUACUGGCCAGAAAAUUUAUCAUAUUUUCAGAUAAAGGUCUUGUUUAGUUCCUAAAAAUUUUCAAGAUUUUUCAUCAUAUCGAAUCUUUGGAUGCAUACAGCUCUGUUCGUUUGGCUGAUAAGCCAUGGUUGAAAGUACUGUUCGUUUAUUUGUCGUAAGAAAAAAAACACUACUAAAUGAUUGAUAGAUUUAGCAGAUAAUAUAAACAAAAGUGAUACAAUAGUUGAAUCUAAAAUUUUUCGGGAACUAAACAAGGUCAAAUUUGAACGUUGAAAAUCCUUGUACUUGUGGACUGAUGGAGUAGUUUUGUAAAGUUGAACACCUGUAGAGCAGCUGCAACAUGUGAAUGUUAAACUUCGUGGGUGUAUAGUUUUCCGAUCAACAGCCAUCCUAAUGCACGCUGGCCCAUUAAUCCUAAUUCCUUUCCAUCAUGGAUCUGCGAUUAUGCUCAUAAGUAAACUAAUAUCUGGUGUCGUAUGAACCCAACUGCUGCUGCCUAUUUUACACAGGGAUAGUCAAAGUCAACCAAUAAGGAGAAAGCAAUAGGAGUACCGAAUGGUACACAACGCAAGGCCUUGUUUAGUUCCUCACAAUUUUUAUAAAAUUUUUUAGAUUCUCCAUUACAUCAAAUCUUGCGACACAUGUAUGAAAGAUUAAAUAUAGAUUAAAAAAAUUAAUUGUACAUUUUAAUUGUAAUUUAUGAGACAAAUCUUUUAAACCUAAUUAGUUCAUGAUUCAAUAAUAUUUAUCAAAUACAAACGAAAAUAUUACUAUGCUUAUUUUGCAAAACCUUGUUUAGUUCCAAAAUUUUUUGCAAAACAGGUACUGUAGCACUUUCGUUUGUUUGUGACAAAUAUUAUCCAAACAUGGACUAACUAGGCUCAAAAGAUUCAUCUCAUCAAUUCCGACCAAACUAUAUAAUUAGUUUUUAUUUUUGUCUAUAUUUAAUACUCCAUGCAUGCGUCUAAAGAUUCGAUGUGAUGGGGAAUCUGAAAAAUUUUGCAAAAUUUUUUGGGAAGUAAACAAGGCCUUAAUGCAGAGGGAAAAAAGAAAGAAAGCAAAAGAAGGCAUCAAUGAGGAGGGUGAGCGUGUCUAUCUAUUCUAAGCCGCCCAUGUUGACCUUGACUCACCCACAACCAGCCGAGCCCAGAACCGGGUCAAGGCCCACCAGCAAGGCACUAUCCCAUCAUCAUCAUCAGGGCCGUCGAUUACCUGCCUUGGACGGCGGCGAUUGCUCCAUUGAUGAUAUACGCCUACAGCAGUGCCAUCGCCGUGCUGCUUCCGUAAAGCGCCGCAUUUACAAGACCUGGUCCUGAGCGUACAGAGCAUAUCAAAUGCAUCAUCAUCGUCUGGAGCUGAUGCACCUGAAGAGAGAGAUGAGAUCCCUGAGGAUUUCGUCAGAUGCGAAGUGGAAAGUUGUUCGUCUCCUGUGGUCGAAAUCGAAACUCGUCAGCAGCUGGAAGGAAGCUGCAGCAGUCAAGUCAACCAUGACAUGAGCCAUCCCGGUAAAAACUAAGGCCUUGUUUACUUUUCAGAAAAAUUUGCAAAAUUUUUCACAUUCCCUGUCACAUCGAAUCUUUAGACGUAUGCAUUGAGUAUUAAAUAUAGACGAAAAUAAAAACUAAUUGCACAGUUUGGUCGAAAUUGACGAGACGAAUCUUUUCAGUCUAGUUAGUCCAUGAUUGGACAAUAUUUGUCAAAUACAAACGAAAGUGCUACAGUGUCCAUUUCCCAAAAUUUUUCGGAACUAAACAAGGCCUAAAAAGAAGCAUGGCUUAAUGGACUGUCAACGCUGUCGACAACGAACGGGAGGUUUGAUCUCACAUUUUGACCCGACAAUUAUGCCGUUCCUCUGUUGUGUUGUUUCUACGGGAGUCCUAGUAAUUUCAGUUGUGGUUUUCUUCGAGUGUGCGUCACUGUCAGUCAGUCACUAGCGCUCUACUACACGCUUGGACAUUUUCCAAGCUCCAUCUAUGGACUAUUGGUAGCCUCACUUCUACCAGUAUACAAUUUUCUUCUCUGUCUCGCCCGGUCCCGGUCUCCUCCCCUGCCUGUUCUACCACUACCAGUCCUCCCACAUCCUUCCUCCCCCUCUUGCCAAGACCAAGAUUCACGCGAAAUAAACCUUACAAUUGCAGAGGAGAAGAGAAGACGCCAUGGCACAUGCGAGAAGGUGGAGCUGCGGUUGGCUGCCUUGAUGACUAGCUAGCUGCCUCUCCGUCUGCCAUCGGCCAUCUCCAUCGGAGAAACACAAAGGAUUAAACGAAUCAGAGGAGCCAGACGCCCCCCCGAAUCGCCGGAAAAGAUCAAGAUGCGGCCUUUGCGGCGAAGCUCCGGGGAUCUUGCGGCCUUCGGCUGCUGCCUCUUCCUCCUCCUCCCGCUGCUGUCCCGCGGCGCCGACAUGCCGGUGGGUUCGACCCUGUCGCCGGGCAACUCGGCGACGUGGACGUCGCCCAACAGCACCUUCUCGCUCGGCUUCACGGCGUCCGCGUCCUCCCCGUCGCUCUUCGUCGCCGCCAUCUCCUACGCCGGCGGAGUGCCCGUCUGGUCCGCGGGCGAUGGCGCCGCCGUUGACUCGAGGGGCUCGCUCCGCCUCUCGUCCAACGGCGACCUCCAGCUCGUCAACGGCUCCGGUACCGUGCUCUGGUCGACCAACACGGGGGGUCAGAACGUGUCCGCCGCGGCCGUCCAGGAGAGCGGCAACCUCGUGCUCAAGGACUCCCGCGGCGCCACGCUGUGGCAGUCGUUCGACCACCCCACCGACACGGUGGUGAUGUCGCAGAACUUCACCUCCGGGAUGAACCUCACCUCGGGCUCCUACGUCUUCUCCGUCGACAAGGCCACGGGCAACCUCACGCUCCGGUGGACCAGCGCCGCCACCACCGUCACCUACUUCAACAAGGGGUACAACACCUCCUUCACGGGGAACAAGACGCUGACCUCGCCCACGCUCACGAUGCAGACCAACGGCAUCGUCUCCCUCACCGACGGCACCCUCACCUCCCCCGUCGUCGUCGCCUACAGCAGCAACUACGGCGAGAGCGGCGACAUGAUGCGGUUCGUCCGCCUCGACGCGGACGGCAACUUCCGCGCCUACAGCGCCGCCCGGGGCAGCAACACCGCCACGGAGCAGUGGUCGGCGGUGGCGGACCAGUGCCAGGUGUUCGGCUACUGCGGCAACAUGGGCGUGUGCAGCUACAACGGCACGGCGCCGGUGUGCGGGUGCCCGUCGCAGAACUUCCAGCUCACCGACGCUUCCAAGCCGCGCGGCGGGUGCACGCGCAAGGCCGACCUCGCCAGCUGCCCCGGCAACUCCACCAUGCUCCAGCUCGACAACACGCAGUUCCUCACCUACCCGCCGGAGAUCACCACGGAGCAGUUCUUCGUCGGAAUCACCGCCUGCCGCCUCAACUGCCUCUCGGGAAGCUCCUGCGUCGCGUCCACCGCGCUCUCCGACGGCUCGGGCCUCUGCUUCCUCAAGGUCUCCAACUUCGUGAGCGGCUACCAGUCGGCCGCGCUGCCCAGCACGUCUUUCGUCAAGGUCUGCUACCCGCCGCAGCCCAACCCGGUCCCGGGCAGCACCACAGGCGCGCCGUCGCGGGGCGGCCCCGGCGUCCGCGCCUGGGUCGUCGCGGUCGUGGUCCUGGCCGUGGUCUCCGGUCUGGUGCUCUGCGAGUGGGCGCUCUGGUGGUUCUUCUGCCGGCACAGCCCCAAGUUCGGUCCGGCGUCGGCGCAGUACGCGCUGCUGGAGUACGCGUCGGGCGCGCCGGUGCAGUUCUCGUACCGCGAGAUGCAGCGGUCCACCAAGGGGUUCAAGGAGAAGCUGGGCGCCGGCGGGUUCGGCGCCGUGUACCGCGGCGUGCUGGCGAACCGGACGGUGGUGGCGGUGAAGCAGCUGGAGGGGAUCGAGCAGGGGGAGAAGCAGUUCCGGAUGGAGGUGGCCACCAUCAGCAGCACGCACCACCUCAACCUGGUCCGCCUCAUCGGCUUCUGCUCCGAGGGCCGGCACCGGCUGCUGGUGUACGAGUUCAUGAAGAACGGGUCGCUGGACGCGUUCCUCUUCGGCGGCGACCGCGACGCGCCGCCGCCGGGCGGGAAGAUGCCGUGGCCGACGCGGUUCGCGGUGGCCGUCGGCACGGCACGGGGCAUCACGUACCUGCACGAGGAGUGCCGCGACUGCAUCGUGCACUGCGACAUCAAGCCCGAGAACAUCCUCCUGGACGAGCACUUCAACGCCAAGGUGUCCGACUUCGGGCUGGCCAAGCUGGUGAACCCCAAGGACCACCGCCACCGGACGCUCACCAGCGUGCGCGGCACCAGGGGUUACCUGGCGCCGGAGUGGCUCGCCAACCUGCCGAUCACGGCCAAGUCCGACGUGUACAGCUACGGGAUGGUGCUGCUGGAGACCGUCAGUGGCCGCCGCAACUUCGACGUGUCGGAGGAGACCGGCAGGAAGAAGUUCUCGGUGUGGGCGUACGAGGAGUACGAGAGGGGAAACCUCGCCGGCAUCGUCGACAGGAGGCUCCCCGCGGAGGACCUCGACAUGGCGCAGGUGGAGCGCGCUGUGCAGGUGAGCUUCUGGUGCAUCCAGGAGCAGCCGGCGCAGCGCCCGUCCAUGGGGAAGGUGGUGCAGAUGCUGGAAGGGGUCAUGGAGCUGGAGAGGCCGCCGCCCCCGAAGUCGUCCGACAGUUUUCUGAGCACCACCACGGCCACCAGUGCCGUCAGCUCCAGCAUGGUCUCGACGGUCGUCUCGUCGGGGGCUCCGGUCGCGCCCGCGCCAUCGCCCACCCUGGAGCAGGAGAUGGCGCUGGGCCGCUCCGAGUCGGCCAGGAACCGUGAGCGCGUGUCGCGGCAGCUGCUGUCGCCGCAGCCGUACAUGACGAUGUGAAAAGGCGCGUGUGCGUCAUCCUCAUCCGAUCCAUGGCAGAGAUCAUCAUCAUCCGGCGAACUGGAUAGCAAAGCAAAAUGAUCACACGCAGGCAUCCAUUCCCAGGAAGAGGAAAAUGUACAGAUUUGUAGAGCGGUUAGGGAAUCGACGAUAUGAUUUGCUCUAAGCUCUGGCUGGCGAACCUUGGCGGCAGAACAAACUGAUCUUUCACUGGUACUGUGGCUUCCAUAUGGCAAUACUAUGUAAUUGUAAGCUUCAAAUUCAGAUCGAGCUUGAUGUUGAGCAAUGCAAUUUGUACAAAAUAACCGGCAUAUUUUAGUAUGGACUGUUUGUUUCAAAAACUGAUGCAGUAGUUUUUUUAAUAACAAUUUUGUUUACCUCAUCAAGGGAAGUUCAGAGCAGCUCUUGAGGCAAAUAGAUUGUAUCAUAAAUAAAUUCAUAAUAAUAAUGCGGAGCUGUUAGAGAGUUUGACUAUCAGUACUGAAUAUUGUUGCACUUCUCCUUUUUGUUUUUCUAGAGAAAAACUGUUUUGGGUCUCCUGUGUUUCUCGUCUCAUCAGUCACUACUCACCAGUCGCCACACUGCCAGGGGAUCAUUCAGCGAAACAUCUCGGUCAGCUUCUGUGCGGUUCAAUGCUAGGGGGAUCAAGAUGCAUCUUGCGCCAAGUUGUCAAAGCAAGUGGCUUGGCCUGGCCACUUGCUUUUCAGAUCGAACCCUAAUUCAGGGCUACGAUCUGAUUGGAACGUACUGCAAACUGCCAAGCCAUUGGCCAAAGACCAAUAGAGUACGCUGGCGUGUUUAAUUCAGAUUCAGAUAGGGAAAGAGUAGGUCUGGUGCAUUUGCCAUUUGGUAAUUUCAGAGUCCUUGCUCUGCGCACGUGCUCUGAGAAAUGUUGUCUCGCCCAACAAACAAACAGGAAUGUUCAUUUCGCCACCCAGGUUUCUAACUUAUAAAUUAAAGUUAACUUAAAUGACAGAAAUGGUUCCAUAGUGUAGUGGUUAGCACUCCAGACUUUGAAUCUGGCGACCUGGGUUCGAAUCCCGGUGGGACCUUUUAAUUUCCCAUUAAUUUUUUUUUGGUCUUUAAAAUUCACGUUCUGAUUAGCUGGUUUCUCAUACAGACCCGCCAUGCUACUAGCCAAAUUAGCACCAAAAAAAAUUGACACAUUAAGACCAAUGUAAUGUAAUGUAAAACGUGCCGACUGAAACUGCUACUGGAUGGUAACCUUCUCUUUUCCGUGUCAAAACAAAAGGGCCAGGUCAACUUACAUCAUCACUAACAAAGUAGGCGACCAAACUGUGAAGUGUCAACACCACAGUUUAACCCAGCGAUGACCACCUGCUUUGAAAGGCAAGGCUGACUCAAACACGAAAUUGCACACCCGUUCUGCGUUUAGUGGCUAGACUUUGUCAAAUCCACGGAUCAAUUUGACCGCAACAAAGCUGUUAGUAUUGUCAACAGUUCUAGAUACGCAGUAGCCAAGAGUCGUGAUUACUGACACAAGAAAACCUGUUGCCUGCUGGUGGCUUGCCUUCAGGGUUGGCCGGUGUAUCGCACUUUUCUGUACACAAUUUGCGGGGUCUUUUGUCGGAAUGCUUCCAGAUCACCUCCGAAGAAGGGAAAGAGUUGAGCUAAUAAUGAGAGACCAUAUCUUUUGUUCAAAGCUAAUCUAGUAUUCCACCCAGUUGACAUCCAAAUCCUUCAGCUUCAGGAGCCAUUUCUGGGCAUCUGGGGAAACAUUGCCUUUAUCAGGUUUCACCCCGUGCUUCUUUGUCAUCUCAGAUGGGGAUUCAGACCGGCUCUCGUCAUCCAAGUCGCCUUGCCUUCUAGGACGUCUUAGUUUAAGAGAGAGAAGGCGUGAAACCUCCUGCACCCCACCCCAUUUUUCCAAUGCCCGAGCAAUGUCGUAACGACCUACCAACAGAGCAUGAAAAUCAUUUCAAAAGCCAGACAAGGAAACUUCAUGACACGACACCAAUCUAACUUGCACAUCUAACCUGACAACAGGAGCCAAUUUUCUGUUUUUCAUGUAAUGAUGGUAUAAAGCUAAAGACAUUUGUGCUAAAAUGGAUAAAACAGCAGCAUGAAAGUGCCACAAUACUUUUUUUUAAAAAAAAAAAUCAACAAUGGGCUACAGAUAAUACCUGCCCUCUCAAAAGAUUUUCUACUUGGCAUAUAAGAAGGAUCCAUCCCCCAACUUUUCUGGAACCGGCUGAUCUGUAUAUAGUGAUCAGAUGCUGAUGUCAGAAGUUGAAGAAAAAUGUUGAAUACAGCAUAUGACGUUAUAAAAUUCAAUGGAUAUAGUCACCGAGUGCUAGCUUUCAUUCAUACUAGAAAUAUAAGGGGACAGUUUUAACUCUGUUUGCAAUAUAUGGUGCAAAACUAUUCAAAGAGUAAAAACAUGGUUAUACCUGUAUUCUUGUGCUAGAAUGGAUAUCUGAUAAGCACAGAGGAGGGAGCUAAAGAUAUAUAGUGUUACCUCUUCUUGCAAGUUCUCCAGAUUAUCCCAAUAGCCUCUUGGUUUUCGAUUUUUGUAAGAAAGAGAAAGGUUCAUUAUGCUGGCAAUCUUCCGGAACCCACCCAUUCGUGUUAUUGCCUUCUCGAUAUCCACCCUUCCAUGAGACCGGAGAUGCUUUCUCUUAGGCAUGAAACCAUACUGACCAUAUUCUGCAAUGAAAUUCUCAAGCUCUGAUUUUAGGACCUCAAUGUCCUUUUGCAACCCUGGGACUUUUGGUCUCUGCUUCAUGGUACUGGAUGAGCAAGACACAGAUGCUUGCUCAGAUUGCCUGCUUUCAGCAUGAUAAGCAUCUGGGUCUAUGGACACAUCAGAAUGAGCUGUGGAGUUGCUACCCUUGGCUCCAGCCUUUUCAAUAUAAUCACGGAUUGCACACAAGUUUGAUGGAAGAUCUUCAUAUAUGACCUGUAACAGAUUGAUGAAAAUGAACAGUCUGCUUUACUAUCUCUAAAGACAUUAAACUUUAUCAAAGCAUUCAGCUGAAAUAAUCAUCAAGGCACCACAUAUAAUUAAUCCAAGUAAGAGCACAAAAAAAUCAGCCUAUUGUCAAAAGCAAGUAAAAAAUGUCAGAAACCAUGAUAAAAACUUUUGGUGUCCUAACUGCUACAGAAUGUAGUCACCUGGAAUUUGAAGAGCUGAAGAUACAACAUGACUUGUAAAACAAAUGCUGUUAAAAUAGCUUCAAGUUUUUAAUUUGAAUAUUUGAGAAGCGUAAGCCACCAAGAAAAUGGAAAACCGAUCCCUAUUAGGUUCUUUAGAGAUAAUUAAGUUUAAACCAACCAAAUACGAAAAUUUAACUAUACUAAGCUUAUACCAUUUGAGAAGGCAUGAAGUAUAUACCCAUUACCAUGCAAAGCACUUUACAGUGUGCACAUAAAAGCCUACUUUAACCAUCUUAAGCUAACAAGUGAAAUGUUAUAUGAAUUAAAGAAAAUGCAUAUGUGGCUUACCUCUUCAAGGAUAGACUCAGAGAGAAAGGUGUCCCUAUGCAUCUUAGUCUCAACCAUGUACUUCAACAGGGUGUGCUGAUCCCCAAGUUGUUCUAAGCGCCAUUUCCCUUUAAACGAGUAAAAAUCACCCUCAACUUGUUCAAACCUGAUCUCUUGCUCAAAUUUUUCACGAAGAUCCAUAACAACACGGGCAUGAAGGACCAUAUACAGCAGGCCUUUGCAACCCUCCUAGAAAAACGAUUGCAAAAGAUAUAAUGCUUGAAAAAGGAAACGAAGACUAUCAGACUGAAUAUACAGAACUUUCUUUCAGAUGAGCACCAUGAAAACAAUCGAGUGAACCGAAACCAGGAUGCAAGAGAAAACUGUGUAUGACUUGAGGACUUUUUUAUGCUGUGUAGUAAAAAAAAGGACAACCUAAGCCUACUUCAUAUGUUCUAGUAAAAACAGUUAACCACAAAAUAUGACAGAAGAGAACCACAUAUUCUACCUGCAUUAUGCGGACCUUGUUAUUAUCACGAAGAACAAUCCUACUGAUAGCCAGGUUUGGUACGAAUCUAUCAAAUGAUUUUUGUUAGAUCAUACCUGUAAUAAAAUAAGAAUGUGAACUCAAAAGAAUGUAGAAGAUAGAACUACUUACUCGGGCAAAUUCUCAUAUGCUGUGAGAACAUUCCAUACCUCCCGAACUGGUGCUUUCACAGUGAUACUAGCAAAAACACACCUAUGAGCCCCCUCAUGUUCCUUCAUGCACACGUAUCACAAGAUAAGACAAAACUUUAAUGCCCUUCCCUUGAUGGCUAAGAAUCCAAUAAGUAAUGAUAUAAGUUUAGUAAAUUACCAACAUGCCAUCAAAUCUUCGAAGAUGGAUCUCAUCUACCACGCAAGGCCUAUCAAUUCUGCAUACAUUUCCAUAUACACCCCAUUUGCUAAUCAAUUCAGAAGCAGGUGAUGGAAGCACACUGUUAACACCAGAAGUGGGAGGUGCUUCUUUAAAUUUACUAGAAGAAGUAUCAACUGUCCUACUACGGAAGUUAUCAAGCUGAGAAGAAGUAGAUGAUGGCUUCAAGUCCUCAACAGAGAAUUUUCUCGAACCACAACUUUGAUUUUCCAGAUAAAUCUUUUCAGCUCUACAAGCCAAGGCACCAAGAUUUACAGGAAGAUCUGACCUUAUAAUCUUUUCAAGAAAUAUAGCCGGGAAGUUAAAUCUUGGUAUCACAUUAACUUCAUACAGCAAAACUGCACUAGAGGACCUGAUAGCAGACAAAAGCAAAAUAGGGCAUAUUAGACUUAAUCUUUUUUUUCGCUCACAAGAAGUAGGAGAGCUUCACGGGGUUGAAAAGAUAAGCUAGUGAUGAACUUAAGCUGGAUGUUCAUCAAAAGAAAAUCAAUAAUAAGGUAGUAUACUACUAUAUAAGAUACAUAUAUUUAUGUCUUUAUUGGUUUACCUCCCAUCCCACUUAUCUGAGCAAAGAAAAAUGAUCACCAGAUGCAUACCUUGGACCAGAUCUUAUGGACCAUUUUCCUUCAAACUUCUUGAAGUCACCAUCUACCAUCGAGAAAUGGAGUUCUCGCCCAUUAAUCUGAAAGCAUAAUCAUGAACGAAUAAUCAAGUAAGGCAAUAUAACUUAAUAUAGAAUAGAAAAUGGAGGAGAUCCAUCAUCGUUUUUCAGAUUUGCUAAAUCUAACUCAUACAACUAAGAAAUAUAUCAGAGAGAAACACAAUAGCGUAGCUCCACAGCAAGAAGAACAACACAUGCUGCAAAAACAUAAAUGUUGCAUUCACACUCUCGUGGACUGGCCAACUGAUCAUCCACUAGUACUUUUCAGUGGCAUUUCACAUAAUGACAUAACAUUGUCGCCUUGUCGGUGAUGUCAAAUGUUGGAUACUCCAAAACUGUUCCAUUGCAAUUUAGCAGUUAUAAUGGAAGUCAAUCUGCGACAGCACGUACGGAGUCAUGGAUUUCCUGGAGAUCCAACACGACACGCGCCUCAAUGUGCCAGUACAACGCUUGCUGCAGGCCUCUCUGCUCCAGCCAUAUCCGCCCUUCAUGCGGGCACGGAAUCGUCCCACUGCAAGCAGGCACGAACAAAAUCACCCCACCUUCAGAAUGCGGGCUUGAUGAGGGCACCAUCAGUGCAAUCACAGCUCAGAAGCGACAAAUCGAGACGAGAAAAAUGCAGACCUCUGGACGAGGUUGGGGAUGAAGUCGGCGAGGCGCUCGUAGUCGGUGAUGACCUGCCAGAGGGUGUCGACGUCGGCGGCCACAGGCACGGACGCGAGCACCCGCCGCUCCCGCCACGACACCACGUCGACGUCGCACUUGACGCCGCGCGCCGACGCGGGGGACCCGGCCUCCGACGCGCCCGCGCGUCCUCCGUGGUAGUGCUGGUGGUCGGCGCCCCAGUGGUCCCCUGUGGCGGCCGCGGCCGAGGCGGCGACGGAGCGCCCGGAAGGGGCCCGCGAGAGCGCGGCCGGCGCGGAACGGAGAGCCCCGCGCGCGCGAGGGCUAGGGCUCGGGAUCCCCGGGAGGAAGGAGGCGGUGGGCGAGGCGAGAGCUCUCAUCGCUCGUGCGCUCGAGUCGAGCGGGAGAGUGUACUUGCCCACUGGGAGUCGUGUCGAGGAAGGAGACGGAGACGCGCGUGGUGACCGGAGCCGUUGCCUCUGGCUCUCGCUGUCUCGAAGGACCGCCGGAGUCUCUGCUGAGUGGGACCAGUGGUAUGGUCCCACGUGUCGGUGGCGUGGCUUGGGUCGACGGCGACGAGCGAUUGUUUCUGUUGCGACGGUGAGAGGCGAGCGGGGGAUGUGUGGCGGGAAGGCGAGGUGGCACCGUAGCCACUCGUGGCGCGUGGGGACGGGCCCCACGUGUCAGUAUUGUCAAGUUGGAUGAAUCUUCUGUGGGGUUGGGAUGUCAGUGCGUGUGCAGUCCAGGCUCCCAUGUGUGGUGACUGGUGAGCGGGCAGCGGGCCGACGUGGCCCGUCCUGCGCCUCCCGCGCGGCGAAAUCUUGGUUUUUUUUGAGAGGAUGCGGCGAAAUCUUGGGCCCAGUUAGCAAAAUGUUGGUAAUACUUUUGUUUUUAUUUGACAAAUAUUAUUUAAUUAUAGAUUAGCUAAACUUAAAAUAUUUAUCUCAUAAUUUACAGGCAAACUGUAUAAUUAGUUUUUGUUUUCAUUUAUAUUUAAUGCUUCAUGCAUAUACCGUAAGAUUCGAUGUGAUGAGAAAACUUAAAAUUUUUUGAAAACUAAACAAGGCCUUAGUUCACCCCAAAAACAAAAAAACUUUUCAAAAUUCUUCGUCACAUCGAAUCUUGCGGUACAUGCAUGGUGCAUUAAAUAUAGAUGAAAACAAAAACUAAUUGUACAGUUUACAGGUAAAUCGCGAGAUAAAUCUUUUGAGCUUAGUUACUCCAAACAAUAUUUGCUAAAUAAAAACGAUAAUGCUACAGUAUCCGAAAUCCAAACGACCAGGCCCAGUCGCUGCUUAGCACGCAAUGGACCGACCGACGGACAUCGGGCUGGGUCGUCCAGUUGCAAACAUAAACCGGCCAAAUCUGGAGGCCCAGCCAAAACAAUUCUACACCGCAAGUUAAAAUUGAGCAGAAAAAAUAUACUAAACAAUGUUCAAUAUCAUCUAGUACUAUAUUUAAAAUUAUAAAAUACUGAACAAUAUUGAAACGUGAAAACUGAACGAUACUGAAUUCUGUUGUGUGCCUUGUGUGUGCAUAGUACUCCGUGCUAAUUAUUGCUUGUAAUAAUGGAAAAACACACAUUUGAGCCUAAUAAAAUGGAAACUCUCAGAAAAUACAGAACAAACUGAGGCCUUGUUUAGUUCCCGAAAUUAUGGGCCGAAAUGCAAAAAAUUUUGCAAUUUGGCCUUUUGGAAGUAAACGAGCCCGAAAUUUUUUGGGCCAAUUUCGCAGGCCGAAACGGCGGCUCUAGCAGCCCAAUUCCAGGGCGCGGUCGUUCUUUACCCGGGCGCCGCGUGAAACCCUAACCCGGCCGCAUUCGCCCACCCGCCGCGCACACCGCCCGCCGCGACGCUCUCCUCUCUCGCGUUCCUUCCCUCCGCCGCCGCGACGCUCUCCUCUCCCCCCGUUCCUUCCCUCCGCCGCCGCGAGGCUAUCCUCUCCCUCCGCCGCGACGCUCUCCCCUCCCUGCUGCACUCAUCGACGCCCAAACAUCCACGGCCGCCCGCGAGCGGUGUUUUACGCGGCCACCCGCACGAACCCUAGCCCUGCUCUCCUCCGUCGCGUCCGUGCUCCACCAGUAGAUCCACCCUUCUCGUGUACUCUCCUCUCCUGUUCCUUGCGAACCAUGGCCGGGCAUGGCAGCGGCGGCUUCGACGGCGACCAGGGUGCCUUCAACCGGAGCCACAACAGUGGAUCUGGGGCCGGCGGCGUGACGCGGGACUUCUGGGACUCCUCCGGUCCAAGCCCCUUCGGCUCAGGCGCUGGUUCAAGCUCGUACCCGAACCCGCACCUAGGGUUCGACGGCCUGGACAUCAACGCUGGCGAGGAAUGGGCGCCAGAAGACGUGGACGACUACGCCGAGCAUCUCCGCGGCAGCAGGGACCUCAUGCCGCCUCCCGUUCGAGCUCCGUCGGUCGGCGGUUCGCGGCGUCCGUUGUUCCACCCGCCUCGGCAAGCGCCAUCAACCGAGCCUUCACCCGACGACGGCUUCGGCGGCCGGCUGUCGCCUGACGGGGGCAGCAACCCCCGAUCUGCACGCACGCCAUCACGAGGCCGAGGACGCGGUCACCGCGCACACGCAUCGGCCGGGAAGGUACAAAACACCCUGCCCCAUCUUUCUAAAUGUUCCAUGUUGUAUACUAGUAGUAGUAGGAAACGCGCGGCCCUGCGCGCGAUCAGUAAAUGUUUGUUGAACUUUGCUUGAAAAUGAUGUACAUGUCCUGGGUGUGGAUAUACGUGUAGAUAUUUCUGUGCAUAUGAAAACAUCAUUAUUCACACAGAUUAGUAUACACGGUUUUCAUAGUCAAAAGCCGCAGGCCUGAGAGACUGUAUGAUGUCAGAUAUGAGGAAAUCCUCAAAGAUUGUAUGAUGGCAGCAUUGUAGUUAAUUACAAAAUAUGGGGGCUGCAGUACUUUCAGGCAAUGCUUUUGUUGUAUUGUGUUCCUUAACAAAGACGAAAGGACAAUCUUAACGGAAGAUCAUACAGAGAAUGAUUUAUUUUUGUUUACCUCCCAGUCUGAGAUGUGCAACCAUUUCAGAGUCUUAGAUUUGCAAUCAUCUUGCCAGUCAUGAGUUCUCUUGCUUAAGUUUAUCAUCAUGAGCAUUCCGGAUCAAGUCUUAGACCUGGAAAAAUAAAAGAGAGCAUGCAACAUUCUGCCUAAGAUAAAACUUAAGAUAGACCAUUCAUUAUAAAAUUCUAUAUAUAUUGUGUCGAGUUCAGGAUGACAUAUUAAUGAACCAAUAUUUUAAAUUCAGAGGAAUUACCCUUGGGACAAAAUUUCCCAUUUUAUCUCUUAGCUUCAAAUGCAAGAUAAAAACAAAAGCAAAUAGGUGACAUUAGUAGUUACCUGUUUUGUCACCUGUUUUUGUUGUGUUGCCUGACAUCCAUUUAUGUCCACCAAUAUUUGCGGUGUGUUGAAUUUUAUUAGUUAUCCCAUAUGUUUCUAAUGAAAUAGCAAAUGUAAGAAUUCAGCGACUAUCUACAAGUUGUGAGUUAGCACAAACUUUUGAUAAUUGAUAGGCGUCGCGUUUACAUUUGUAUAGGUGAAUAGGUUCCUUUUUCUCUUGCUGUAUUCAUGGCUGAGUGAACUGAUGCCACUGUGCAUGUCGAGUUGUACUAUAGGUUCCUUCAUUCAUGUUAUAUAAAAUUUCCCCCGAUCUGCACAGUGCAUGUUGAAUUUGCCGUCAUAGUCUUCUGCAAUUAUGACAUUACGUUAUUCAUGUUAUAUAUAAUUUGUGCUCUCGGUUAUCACGGUUUAGGUCCACAAGAGCAAAGCAAAUUGGACAACCGAUAACCUAACGAAGUACUGCGAAUGCUAUGUUCUAGAGAUGCACUAUGGGAAUUGCCCUGGAGGCCAAAUGAACAAAUUUGGGUGGAAGGGGUUGAGCAGUAGGUACUAUGCUGCCACAGGUUUGCUGCAUGAUAGGGAACAAUUGCAGGGCAAGCAGAGGACCCUUAAGAAGCUGUGGAGGUUCUGUAACCUUGCACGUACUCACACUGGAGUUAACAUAGAUGCUGACGGGUUCAUCCAGGCUACAGACAAGUGGUGGAACGACAACGCUACAGUAUGUGUGUCAUGGACUAUACAUUGGAAUUCACUUAUACAGCUCCAACAAUAUGUAACUGUUGCACUGCCUGCAGGAAUCCGAGUUCAUGAAGAUUAGGUCAACUGGACUGCCUCCGUACUUAGAUCAGCUUGAUCAGAUGUUUGCCGGGAACACAGUGGACGGCUCCUCAUCGUACGUUCCAGCUGCUGGUCCAACAACUGAAGUCCAAGAAGUUUCAUCUGAUGACGAAGGAGCAGAUGAGGAGGACACCCGUACCCCUAUGAGCCUUGGGACCAAAAGGACAGGAAGCACUAGCACAACUGCAACGAGCCCCAACAAGAAGACCAAGAACACAUACGCGAGGGUCAUGAACCAGCACAUGAACUCGCAUUUGGAGCUUGCUAGAGAGAGGCUGGAGGUUCACAAGAAUGCCCUUCAGAAAAAAGCACAUGACAAGGACGCCGCAAGGACAUCUGUGAACUGGAAAAUAGCUGAGUGCUCUAGGAUUGCUGAGCAUGAGCUUGGCAUUUCUCGAGACACGCCAGCCCUGUUGGAUGGACUCCUUGCUCUGGCAGAGAAUGAAGCACAGAUGGAUUUGUUCCUUUCGUCAAGUUAGACAGUGAGGAUACGAAUCAUCCAGAAGCUCGCCAGCAACCCUCCGCCGGUGGACCCCUAGAACACCUUCCUUCUAAUGCAUGUAGCAAUGGCGCAGUAGUUCCACUGACAGUAGUUGCACUGACAGUGUAGAACCUUUUGCUGGAGAUGAGGGCCAAUGCUUUUGGUUUAGGGUUGUAUGUUGUAGUGCGUACGUGUGUGUGGUUUUAUUUCUUUCUUUUCAAGAACUAUGAACUCUAUGUUGUCAUUUGUUUGGAAAGACCUUUGAAUGUACUAAUUUGUUUGAUCACCAAUCUUUGUUGCAUUAUGAAUUUGUAUGUGCUACUAUGCUACUUUUGGGCCAUUCUGGUAACCUUGAAUGUGUUGUACCAUGUGCUGACUAGUCUGUGCUGUAAUUGUGGCAGGCUAAGAUUUCUUGGUAUGAUGCACGAAGGGAGGAGUUGCUGCAGCAGUUGGAGAAGGAAGAAGAUGAGUUGCUGGAUGAGAUGAUGGAAGAUGCUGAGGAGGAUGAGUUCAUCUUUGGUAUGUACCAAUAUGCAAUGCACAUAGACAAGUACAUGUGUAGAGCUGACUAUAGAGUUCCUAAAAUGAGUGGCAUUGAAUGGGUUCAUGCUAAGACGGCCAGUGAGAAGUCAUGUUACAACAUGUUUAGAAUGACCCCUACAAUGUUCUUUACCUUGCAUGAGCUUUUAUGUGCUAAGUACGGUCUGAAAUCGACUACCAAGUCGACUUCUUUUGAGGCUCUAGGCAUGUUCUUGUGGAUGGUUGGGGCACCACAGUCUGUUAGGCAAGCUGAGGACAGAUUUGAGAGGUCUUUGGGGACUGUGUCAAAAAUGUUCAACAGAGUCUUGAAUAGCCUUGUGCAGCUAGCAGCAGACAUCAUUAAGCCAGUUGACCCAGAGUUUAGAACACUGCAUCCAAGGCUUACAAAUCCUAGGUUUUAUCCACAUUUCAAGGACUGCAUAGGGGCCAUAGAUGGAACUCAUGUCCAAUGUGUAGUGCCAAAUGACAUGUUUGUUCAGCACUUGUGCCGCAAGGGAAUCACUACACAAAAUGUCAUGGCUUGUUGUGACUUCGACAUGAGGUUCACCUUUGUGAAUGUUGGUUGGCCUGGAUCUGUUCAUGACAUGAGAGUGUUCAAUGACUCGACAACAACAUAUAGCGCUGUGUUCCCACAUCCACCUCAAGGUACUGACUAUUUCAUACACAUGACUGAUUCUAAUACUUGAUGACACUGUGCCUAACUGAUUGUCUGUUGAUGCAGGGAAAUACUAUCUCGUGGACUCGGCCUAUGCGAACAAGCAGGGGUACCUAGCUCCUUACAAAGGCAACAAGUACCAUCUGCAGGAGUUCCGUGACGGGUCCGAGCCACAAGGUAAAGAGGAAAUCUUCAAUUAUGCACACUCUAGCCUUAGAAAUGUUAUUGAGCGGGCAUUUGGAGUUUUGAAAAUGAAGUGGCGCAUGUUGCAAAAGAUCCCUCCAUACGCACCUCACAAGCAAUCCAAAAUAAUUGUUGCAUGUAUGGCCCUACAUAAUUUUAUGAGAAGCAAUGACAUAGCAGAUAAGCACUUCCAUAGGUGUGACAAUAAUGAGAACUAUGUGCCGCGACAAGCGUAUGAGAAUCAGCCACCUCCUGAGGUUGUCGAAGAUGGUCCAAACCCGAUGGCUGCAUUCCGUGAUUCGCUUGCUUAUGCUAUGGCAACUGGUUCGUAAAACUGUUGUGAUUGUUCACAUGUUUGUUUAUUUCAUUAUUGCGGUUUGUGAGUAUUUUUUUACGACAGUUUUGAAUUCAUGCGAGUAUCUGUGAAUGUUUGAGGACAUAUAUGAGCUGUGAUGUUUACUGUAACAUUGUUGAGCCCAUUAUGUGGUUGUAAUAGGAAAUAAAAGUUGUAAUAGGAUGAUCACAGUUUUUUUUAAUAAAGUGUGCAUGAACAUUGCCUGUGAUUUUGUCUAUGCUUCAAUCUAUGCUUGUUGUGCAUGUGCAUGGGGUUGCAUGGCAACCAUUUAAUGCAGCUGCAUGACUUGCAGUUUUGCAAAAUUUUUUGGUAAGUAAACAGGAAAACCAAAAUACAAAAUGUCAGUAUUUUGGUGUGCUGCACAUUCUGUUUGGGAUUUUACAAUUUUGCAAAAAAGUUCAGGAACUAAACAAGGCCUGACUUGGGCCGCCACUCCCUAAAUUCGCUAGGCCCAACGCCUCCCUCCAGUCUCUUCCCCGUCCAGUCCCUUGACCCAGCGUCGAUUUCAAAACCCGCGAAACCAAGCACGGCGUCACGAGUCACGACCGCACCAACCCCAGAGGCGGCAAAGGCGGUCUCUCUCGGGCCCGGGCACUAGCGGCGAUGUCGGCGGCGGCGAAGGCCAAGGCCAAGGCGAGCGGCGGCAAGCGGGCCGCGGCGUCGAAGGACCCCGCCGAGGCGCUCGUCUCAGACAAGAGGCGGCGGGAGCGCGGUGGCAUGGACGACUCCGACCACGAGUUCGACAGGUGCCUUGCCUUGCCUGCUCCUCCCCCCUCGCCUAUCGUGUUCGCUGCUUUGGAUUCGCCGCGGUCCGGGAGCGAGGCCGUUGGUUCGAAUCGGGGCGGCGAAGCGAGGGUUUUCGUUCCUAGUAACUGCGCCUCCGUUCCGUGACAAUUUUUUUGGGGGGAACUUUAGCGCUAUUGAUCGAUUCCUCUCUACACAUUUCAUGAUCCCGGGCGUGCUUUCAAUGUGAUUGGUGGAGGCAGUGACAUGAAGGAGAUCGUCACGCUGCUGAAGCAAAUCAAGGACAAGGCCCACAAGGACGGCCAGAAGAAGACCGAGCAGGCCAUUUCCAGGUGAUUACGGUCUCCAUCCCCGCGCAUCCACCUAGCAUUUUGGUACUAGUAGCGACUGUUCUGUCAGUGUACGUAAUACAGCAGUGUUUUACAUAAUACAGCGUUUUGGUCAGAUGUUUGUGUGUGCAACUGUUCUGUUUGCUCCAAUAGUCCAAUCCAAUCGAGGGAGAUUUGGUGUGGUUUGGUGCAUGGCAAGCAGCACAUCUGGUUAAAAUCUGCAGAUUUUACACAAAACGUCUGAUUGACAUCUGAUGUAGUACUCUACUAUGGAAGACAUGUGUUGGUGAUACUCGCUGUGUUGUGUCUGAUUUGUGCACUUCAGAUGGCUGUGCUUCAUACACAGUUUAGCAGGGCACCUCUCAUGGGUGUCAAGUUGUUUGCCAAUUCCUGGGUGCUUUAGUGAAUCACUGGUUGUUGUAGUUCACAACUAGAGAGUUUGUUGUCCCUUGGUCUCAUGCUAAAGGGAGCACUAUUACUGACUGAAGUGAAUCCACCUAUGGUGUCUGGCAAGUAGAUUGAGACUGGAGUUCAUGAACAAUGGCAUCAUGGAAUCUUAUGUCUGGAUGUUGUACUCGUUGCAGGGAGCUAUCUUGAGUACAUUGCUAACAAGUUUUGGUAUCUUUCAGCGUGGCAACAGAGAUUCAGACUAUGGUACAAGACACCAAGACUAGGCUUGAGAAGGAAAGGUGAGCAAAUAACUAAUCCAUAUCACCAGCCUUCCAGUGACUUCACUAGAGAAAUACAUUAGCUCCUGCAGCGAAAUCUGAUGUGCUCCUUUUUAGUUGUAGCUAGAACUGAAACAGGUUCUUGGUAAUAAAUACUGUGAACACCCUGAAUGGAAUGUGCCCCUGACAAUUGUUUUAUGUGCGUGCACAGGCAGAGUUUUCUGAAAGCAUUGUCAAAGACUUCAAAAGAGGUCUGGAAUUGUACUUGAUGCUUCAAUGUGCUUCUGGUUACUAAUCUGAUCAGAUUUUGGUUAAUGGAAGAUUCGUUUAUAUGUUAUGCAGUGCGAAGGUUUGUUGAAGAAUGAGUACACCAAAUUUCAAGCAACACAUGACAAGUUCUGCAAAGACAAAGCUGCACACAUACAGAAUUUCAAAGGUACGCCAGAUAAGAGCUAAGCUGACACCUAUUGUGAUAUGCUGACAUGCUGUAUUGUUAUCAUCUAGCAUAUCUUUAUCUAGCUCAUGUCAUGCUCGAGCAGGUCUGGUACCAUCCUUAGUUUGUUCAUCAUGAAUAUGACACAUUUAGAUCAUGACUCCAGAUAUUCUGUGUCCACAAUUGAGUUGUGCUGUUUGCCUAUUUUUUUAAUUAUAUGACCAGAGGAAUUCUAUAGGCAAGCUCACCUAAGGAAGCUCCAGUGUACGCAUAUGCUUAAUCUGCUAGCAGUUUUGCAGCUAGUAAAUGCAAUCAUAUAGCCUGUGUUGUACCUAUGCUGUCACACACUCACACUUUCCUAUAAUUCAUGAUUUAGAAGGGAUAAUAUGUUAAUGUGAAAUCACCCAUUGAGCACUGUGCUGUGCCUAUAUUGCCUCACUUUCCUCUUCACUGAGGUAGUUGUUGUCAUCAGUUAUCAUCAUUUUUAAUUGACCUAUCUAUGUACUGUUUUCUGCAGACCUGUUCUCAAAGUUUGAAGAUGAUAAAGAGAAAUUGCUUGUGCAGUAUGAACUGCAGAGUAAGUAGUAGAUGGCUAGUUCCUUCAGUUGUGUUUAUGAGUUUGCUGCUUUGACAUGCUGCCUUUUAACAGGGAAGAAGGAGAAGGCUACUCUAUCUGAACUUGAGAAAACAUUUUCAGAGAAGAUAGCAAAUGCAGAAGAAUCCCUGAAGAAGAUGAAGCAGGUAAAUGUCACAACAUGCAUGAUUUUCACAUUGCUGAUCUCAUCACCAUGCAUCGUUACUGUGACUAAACUUUGCAUGGUUUAUUAACCAUAAUAAUCAGUUCACUAAUUAUGCAUUCAUGCUUGACAGGACGACAAAUCAAUCCACAUCCUUCGCAAGUCCAUUGGCUCAUUUCUGAGUGGCGACCCAGAUGAUCAGUCUGGUCAAGAUGAUGACUGAAGCUGCUGUCACCAAAUGGUUUCUAGUUUGAGAUCUAUGUGGAUAAUAUGUUAUUGGAGAAUAUAUAUCAUCAGUGCAUAGGGGAGGCAAAGAUACAUAUAGGGAGUUGAUAGUUUGUGACUGCACAACUCGUGUGCUUAGUUUUCAUUGGCUCGGGCUGUGAUGUUAUGGAGAAUGAUUGCAUUAUUAAUUUGGUGGAUUUUAGUACUCUACAGCAAGAGGUUUAGAUUGUGCUAGGUUGGAAAGGCAUUAUCUAGUUGCACCAUUGCAAGUGCUAUACUUGGCCGGGACGCUUUACAAUUUGGUCAGCAUCUGCUCUCCUCAUGCCACAGCCCACUGCAAACCAAGUUCUCCUUUAUCAAUAUUCAGUAAUAAAAUAUAUACGAAAAUUUGCAAAUUCACUAAAGCAUACAUGUCAUUGCAAAUUCAUAUGUUUUUGAAGGAAUGCAAAAGCAAAAGAACAGGAGAUUUACACACACAUACUUCACCGGCAAAACAAAAAAAAAAGGUUGAGAUCGUCGUCAAUCCACGUGUCUUGAAGUUGUGGUGGUAGCAUCUCCUGUAUCAAUAUUCAGUAAAACAUAUACAGUAUACAUGUCAUUGCAAAUUCACAUGUUUUUGAAGGAAUGCAGAAGCAAAAGAACAUGAUAUUUACACACACAUACUUCACCGGGAAAUAAGAAAAGGUUGAGAUCGUUGUCAAUUGUCAAUUCCACAUGUCUUGAAGUGGUUGCAUCUCCUGUACUGUGGCUUGCAAGCAACCGGUUGUUCAGUUCAGGCACACGUUGCGAUAGAGGCAGCGGCCUGUUCGUCGGGUCCAUGCACGUCGACCAUGGCUGCCUUGGAGCACGCCUUGCACUGGAGGCACCACCGGCCGACGCACACCAUGGACGUGUACCGCUCUCCGCACCCGGGGCACUUGGCGGGGCACUGGAACACCUGCCGCCCCGGCGCGGCCGGAGGCUUCUUUUCCGUCGGCGGCUUCGUCUGCCACGGCGUGUUGAGCCACGCGGGGCAGCGGGCGCACCUCAUGCCUUCCCGCCGCUCCCGGCGCCCGACCAUGCCGCGGAACUCGUUCUUGCAGGAGGGGCAGUAGAUGAGGAUGGGCUCGCGCGGCUCCUGCACCGGCGGCUGCAUCAUCAUCAGCACCGUCACCUUCGGCCGCGGAGGCCGGCCGGGCUGGGCAGCGGCGGCCGCCGGAGGCGGGGGAGUGCUCGUGUCCCGGUCCGCCGGUCUGGAGCGGGAGGGGGCGGGCCGCGGUGGCGAGAGGGCUUCAUCGUGUGCCUCCCGCAGAAGCCUGAAGGCGCUCUCGGCGGCGGCGCAGUGGGUCUUGUCCGGGUGCACGAGGAGCGACAGCCGCCGGAACUGCUUCUUGACGGCGUCCUGCGUGGCGGCGUCGGCGCCGGGGCCUAUGCUGAGGAUCGCGCGCCAGCCGCCGGCGCCGCCGUCCGCGGUGGCGUUGGCGUGGACCUUGUAUGCCGCGAUCGCGUUGUCCACGUCCGGGAGCGACGGGCAGAGCCGCUUCGCGUUCUCGGCCAUUUUGUGCGCGUCGACGAUUUUGCCGGCGAGGAAGAGCUCCUCCUUUCUUCCUCGCGUUACACACCGCCAUGUGGGAGUCUGCUGGAUUGGAUUGGAUUGGUCUGGAGAUGGACGCAGCCUGCUUUGUGCAUGGCCAGGGAAAUAUAUAGCUGCCUGUUCAUCAGUUGGACUCCGAUUGGAGUCGGCGUUUUCGUCUCCGCGCGCCGCGCGUUCCAGUCGGAGUCGAGUCCGAAUUGCCCUGGAAACACUGGGCUCCGCUCCGGAAUCGCCGCGGUCUAUCGUACUAGCCUUUUGUCUUUGUCAUUAUAUAAUUCAAAAUUAUUUUUACGUGAGGAAGCUAAUGAAUGUUUUUAGCAAAUUUGAUCAAAACUAUGAAUGUUUAACUCGGUACUUUUAUAUUGUAAUUUUUUCGGACCGGAGUGUGUUUUUGUCAUCUGAUGGAGUAGGUUACGAGCAACUAAAGUAAUAAUAAUAGUAUCAGUUUGUAUGUAAUGUGCCAAUACUUUUACGGUGUAACUGGUUAGCACAACACGCUAAAGAAGCGGUUGACUGAUUUUUGUUUGUAUGUAAUGUGACACCUUUUCAAUUUUCUUUUCUCAUCGCAUACUCUCACUGCCUUGGAGAAAGUGUACAUGUAGAUUCCCCUCCUCCCCCCUCCUAAGAGCCUAUUAUUUGCCUUUUUUUUCUUGCUUGUAUAUUAGGCCAGUUUUAGCCUAAUAUAUAAUCCCUCGAUUUUCACUUUUUUAACCAAUCCCUCGAUUCCAAAUUAUAUAUACAUCACUUUAAUUUAUAAUUCAAAUAUAUAACACUUCUACCAACUUUUCUUAUUAGAAAAUAUAUCAACAUCUACAAGUUUAUAUAUAUGCACUAUCAAACCUAUUUUAUGAAGGAUUGAGUGCAACUGAUUUGAAGGUCUAGGUAUUGCUAAGUUUCUUUAUAAGCUUGGUCAAAACUACAUAAGAUUGACUUAGGACACAACAAAGUGAACUAUGAUUCAGGAUGAAUAUAGGUAGAUGGCAUUCAACUCUACCUCUAGGAUAGAAUUAGUGUUAUUAUUAAGCCAUCCAAAUUCGUCACCAUUGGCACGAAGCAUUGAAUUAUUUUAUUUUAAAAAAAAAUACAUUAGUGUUAGCUACUUAGCUUCAUAUUACUCCCUCCAAUAAUACAAAUAAGGAAUUAAUAAAUACUAGCAAAAGUACCCGCGUGUUGCAACUGGAGAAGUCAUGGAGAGUUUUGAUAUCUAUAUUGUUUUGUCUUGAAAGCUAUUGUUUUUAUUGCACCCGAAGCUAUGCUCACACACGCACACGCACACCGCACCCAUGCACACACGCCCGCACGCGCGCGCACACACACCGCACACGUUUUCUCUUCCACUUUCAAUUAUAGCAUCAAAAAAUCAACAAAUAUAACUCCAAUAAAUUUACAUAGUGUACAAAAUUUCAUCAUACAAUUUUGUUAAUUAAUGUGGAAACAUAAUACCCUCCUUUUUUACUUUACUUUUUUUCUUUUUCUCAUCCUUAUCUGCUAGAUCAAACUCGAGUGGCCUCAUUCACUCGCACCCUGUGGCUUCCCACUUUGGCUAACUGAAGCCUUGCAAAUGCGACCAUGAAGCCCUAAUGGUUUGACGGUCAUGGCACCAUGGCGCCCAUGGGGUCGCGACGUGAGCAUGCUCUGGUACUUCCAUGCUUUGCCAUUCUGACAGCCUGUCGAGUCUAUGAGACAGAGCCCCGAUAGUUGCACACGCCAACAACUGCACAGCCUCGCCCGCGUCACCGUCUUCUAUCUCCUCGACCUCACCUUGUGUCGUUACUGUCGCACAUCCUCGCCUCGGUCUCACUCACACGCUGUCUCAUCAAGUUUUGCCCGACCUCGACAUGGUCUCCAAGCCUUGUGCCAUCGUCGUUUCGGCCACGACAUAUUUUCGUGCCACCUUGUUUGACUUGAUAGGGUGUCGUUCUUAUAUAUAGUUUAAUCGGUUGUUAAACACUUUUGGGGUCAGGGUGCCUGGGGGCACGAGGCUGUGGUCGCCAAUCGCGUCGGUCGCUAGCUAUGGGCGCGCGGCCAUCGGGGGACGUGCUCAGCUCCGAGUCAUGUACGUCGGCGAGUGCGCCUCUGAAGUGGGGCUAGAGGUGGAAGGCUGCAACUCCCUCCAAAAUGACCAAAGCCCUUGGCCCAUCGCUGAGGGGGCGGGGCCACCUAGGGGCGUGGGGUUGUGGGCGCUAGUUGUGUCGGUCGUCGGGGGUGCGCUCGGCUCGGAGCCACGUAUGGCGGCAUCCUCGGUCGCCGGAGGCGCGUUCGGCUCCGAGUCACGUACGCACAGGUUAUGUCUGCCGGGCGCAGCGUCCGCUAGGGGCAUGGGGUUGCGGCCCCCGGUUGCGUUGGGCACCAGGGGCAUGUGGCCGCGGGGGGGGGGGGGCAUGUGUCCACAGAGGGGUGCAAGGCUGCCUCCGCCAGACACGCCGGCCACUGGGAGGGCAAGGGGCACCCGUCGAGAUGUGUGGGGUUGUGUCCGCCGGACGCCGAGGGGCCGGGGCCGCUGAGGGGCGCGCGGAUGCAGCCGCCAAGAGGUGCGUUGCUGUAGCUGCCGAUCAUGCGGCCACCGGGGUGCGCGGGGUCGUCUCCGUUGGGCACGGCGGCCGCGAAGACAGUUUUUUUUUUGCCCUUAAGGCAUAUGGUCUCACUCUCCUAUCCAUUGAAUUCACAUUGAAAAAUGUACAACACACAUUCCAAUACAGUUUUACACUGAGAUAUAUGGCGGCCGCCCUCUGUGCUCUACGCUAGCAGCACCAAAUGAGUAGGACAAGUGACCCUACACCUAGUCCAAUCCCAAGUAGUAUCCCUACGAGCUCCCACCAAUGACCGGUGUCCAUCAUGAUCGGGUUCCUGCCACCUCUUCCUCGACGUAUCCUCUCUCACAGUACUGGGCUUUGUGAGGCCCUGUUUAGUUACUCCCCAAAUUUUUUUCAUCCAUCCCAUCGAAUCUUUGGACAAAUACAUGAAACAUUAAAUGUAGAUAAAAAAAUAAACUAAUUACACAGUUUGGUUGAAAAUCGCGAGACGAAUUUUUAAGCCUAAUUACUCCAUGAUUAGCCUUAAGUGCUACAGUAACCCACAUAUGCUAAUGAUAGAUUAAUUAUACUUAAUAGAUUUGUCUUGCAGUUUAAUUUGUUUUUUUAUUAGUUUCUAAAAACCCUUCUCGACAUCCUUCCGACACAUCCGAUGUGACAACCAAAAUUUUUUUCUCCACCAUCUAAACAGGGCCUUAGUUUAUAAAAUUUUUCAUAUUUCUUAUCGCAUCGAAUCUUACGGCAAAUGUAUGCAACAUUAAAUAUAGAUAAAAAAAUAAAUAAUUACAUAAUUUAUCUAUAAUUUACGAGGCGAAUCUUUUGAGCCUACUGAGACUGUAUACUUUUGUUUUCGUCUAUAUUUAAUGCUUCAUGCAUGUGUCACAAGAUUUGAUGUGAUAAGAAAUCUUAAAUUUUUUUUGGUUUUUGGGUGAACUAAACAAGGCCUAAGGAUGCCUUGGUUCUUUGUGAAGCUCUGUAAAGAGUAUCAAACAUUGAGGUUCUAUUUGGUUUCCCUUAUAUCAGUUCCUGUUUUUUUUCCUCUGAAAUUAUUAUUAAAAAUUAAUACUCCUGGUUUUUUUAGGCCUUGUAGUUCCCAAAAAAUUUUGCAAAAUUUUUCAUAUUUCCCGUCACAUCAAAUCUUUAGACACAUGCAUGAAGUAUUAAAUAUAGACAAAAAUAAAAACUAAUUGCACAGUUUGGUCGGAAUUGACGAGACGAAUCUUUUGAGCCUAGUUAGUCCAUGAUUGGACAAUAUUUGUCAAAUACAAACGAAAGUGCUACAGUAUCGUUUUUUCAAAAAAUUUUGGAACUAAACAAGGCCUUACUUGUCUGGAAACUUUUGCUAUACAUAUUAGGAAUAUAUACUCUUUAUUUCUGAACGUCCAUUCUAAAUGUUUAGUUUUUUCUCUCUUUAACUUUGGGUGCUAACCUUGCCUGUUCUGGUACUUGUUUCAGCGGAUUGUGUUUCCAGGAGCAGCUGGAGCAUACAGAGUUUCGCAGCUUCUCGUUGUGGGGUUUGCAGCUCCGUGGACAGAUGACCUGUUUCAGUACCAACGACAUCCCAUCAUCUCUUUGGGGGAUCGACGAAACAUGAGUAGAAAAAAAAAAAGCAACUCACAAUUGUCAUAGAAGCCAGGUGUCCUGCUCAACCAAGUUCUCCCCAGGAUCAACACUGACGAGUAAUGUGAGAGACUCGAGCAGUGGCGGAGCCAGAAUUUUAAACUUGGGUAUUCCUACUUUCACAAAGUUAAUUUAUAGGUUGAAAAUAUAGUCAAUUAUACUGCAAGUUAGCAACUUUAAACUAAUAUUUGCUUUCUAGAAUAUAGACUUCUAAUUGAAAUGCUAGUUUUUUUACAUGUUUUGAGCUCAAAUGUGCAAAAUACUAUAUAUUAUAGCAUUAUACAUUUAUAUAUAUAAGUGUAUACACAUAUUUACGUAGAAGUGUACCAAAAUAGUUGGGUAUUCCUGUGAAUACCGGGGAAUACCCCUAGAUCCGCCACUGGACUCGAGACAAGUAAGCAGAAGAUCACAUUAUUUAACGACUUACAAUCUCAACCAUGGCACUUCACGAUUUGCACAUGCUUCCUUGAAUUUUUAAGAACAAACAAGCAAAUCAGUGAUUCAGUGGCAUGCUUGUAUUGUAGCAGCAAGCAAUAUAAUGCAUCAUAGUCGCAAACAAACCUUCACCAUCCCACAAAGUCUUGGUCCAAGAAAAGCUUUUCAUGCAGUUGCAAAUUAAAGGAUGAUGCAUGAUAGAGUCGACGUCGUCGUUCGUCUAGCCGGCGGCGGCGCCACACCUGCAAGAGACACACACAUGCACAGUCCCGUACGUAUUCUUUGCAAUGCAACAAGGAGGAGAGGCUUCAGAAAGCGAUGGCCCGGUGGCGGUCGUACACGGCCUUGAGUUCCGAACAAAUUUCGGAUUUCGCAACUGUAAUACUUUCGUUUUUAUUUGACAAAUAUUAUUUAAUUAUGAACUAACUAUGAUCAAAAGAUUCGUCUCGCGAUUUACAGACAAACUGUGUAAUUAGUUUUUAUUUUCAUCUAUAUUUAAUGCUUCAUGCAUGGGCCGCAAGAUUUGAUGCGACCUAGAAUCUUAAAAUUUUUUUGGAUUUCCGGGCUAAACAAGGCCGUAGACGAAGACGUCGUAGGAGCAGGCCUGGCACCUGAGCUUGCACAACCCACGGGACACCAGCGACGAGAAGGUCGUUUUGCACCGGGAGCACUCGGUGCGGCACGUGAACUUCACCCGAUCGUCAUCGUCACGUUGCCGCCGCGGCGGUGGCUCGGCGGCGCUGCCUGCCGGGGGCGGGUCUGAGGCACCCUCCGCCUGGCUCUCCCGCGGCGGCGGCGGCGGCGGAUUGAAGGCAGUGCCGCACGAAUGGCACCUGCCGCCGGGCGUGCCGUGGCGGCCGCCUCCCGCGGCGGGCUCCGAGCUGCAGUGCCCGCAGUAGGCGGUGCCCUUUUCGCGGGCGUAGCUCGACCGCCACGCGCUGAAGUUGGCCGAGGAUGCCGACGAGAAGGGCGGCGGCGGCGGCGUGUAGCCGUACGACGACCAGGUGCGCUCGGGCGGCGGCUUGUAGCGGAAGUGCGACGACCACCAGUCGCGGCCGGGCGCUCUGGGCGGCGGCGAGCUGCCGAAGAACGAGGACCACCAGUCAGGGUCUGGCGCUCCGGCCGGCGGCGAGCUGCCGAAGAACGAGGACCACCAGUCAGGGUCUGGCGCUCCGGCCGGCGGCGGCCUGGGCUUGGCGCCGGUGCCGAGGCCGGGAUCGGGGACGGUUCCUGGAGGGUGGCGAGCGGAGAGCACCUCCCACGCCCGCUGGAGCAGCUUGAACGCGCCGUCGGCGGCCGCCGAGCGGUUCUUGUCCGGGUGCAGGACGAGGCAGAGGCGCCUGUACCGCUUCUUGAUGGCGUCGUGGUCGUGCGCGACCGUCUCCGGCUGGCCGACGCUGAGAACCGCGUACCAGCAGUUCCUCUCGCCGCGGGCGGCGGCGUGGACCUCGUAUGCGGCGAGGGCGCUCUGCAGGGCAGGGAGCGACGCCAAGUGCCUCUUGGCGUUCCGGGACACGCGGAGCGCGCCGUCUAGAUCGCCGGCGAGGAAGCGCUCCUCCGCGUAUCUGAAGGCUUUCUCCGCCUUCUCCGUGCCGGUCGCCAUGAGAGAGUCAGAGCCGGCGACCGAUGGGACUCGGCGUCGACGAAACGAGAUAUAUCGGGCAAAAGGCGCGGCCAGUCCGACUCGAACUUGCGUGAUCGCAAUCUACGCGGAGGCAGCCCAAGUCGGCGCUUUCAUGAUGAGUCGAUGAGCUACCGUCUCGGACUGGCGCAAUAUUGUUUGGUUAAGCACGUUGAAGUUUAAUAAAUAUUGUAUUAGUAAUUUCUAGGCCAAACAUUUAUCUCCAAAAGAAUCGAUUUCUGUAGAUAAACGGUCCACCGAUCCAUAUUUAGUCUCUCUCGUAAUCUGAUCCAUCAGUACGCAAGAUAUAGAAAGAACAUUAUCCCUAAAUUGCAUGUUGGAGACCAGGCUAUCACUCACAAAGCAUGAGGAUAAGGCUGUUUUUAUGACAAUCUCAUCGCGACUGAGUGUGCUAGAGAGAGUACUGUUAAUCUAGACACCCUUGGCCAGUCCCAGCUUUGAUCUUGAAGCUUUAGGGUUUGUUUGGCACAGCUCAACUUCACUAGUAAAGUUGUUUUUUUAGAAAAUAGCUUCAUGAGUGACUUUCUAGAUGAAGCUGAGCUGUUUUGGAGAAAGUGUUUGGCAAAAUAGCUUCACCAACUACUUCAUGCAUAGUUAAGAGAGAGAAAUGAGAGAGAAGCUGCAAUAAGCUACUUUUUUUCCAGCUUCAUCCAACUUAUGUCUUUGUGAGAGAAGGAAAAAAAUAGCUUCACCCAUAAAGUUGUUUUGGAAAUAAGUGUUUGCCAAAAAAAACAGCUCACAACAGCUCAUGAAGCUGUUGUGAGCUGUACCAAACAGGCCCUUAGAGUUGCCUUUUUCUGAGGAAUUAGGCCUUGUUUGGAUGUAGUCGGAUUCGCAUCAAUCCACAUGUAUUGGGUGGAUUAGAGUGAAACUUGAACUAAAUUCCACCCCAAUUCACUCCAACACAUGUGGAUUGAGGUGAAUCCGACAACAUCCAAACAAGACCUUAAGGAGAUGCCACCUGAUAAGGCUAUAAUAUUACUUAUGUGAAUUUGCUUUGAUAUUUCAACACAAAAGUAAUUUUGUCUCAAAUUCUGUGAUUGCUCCUCAUCACAUUUAAAGAGUCAUACAACUCAGUAUGGUAUGGGUAUCCUCUUGAUUCCCAGUACGUAACGCUUCGGCUUCGGUUUUCACAGAUACACCACCAACACAUCCUCACAUUUUACCGAAGCACAUCGAUGGUAAAACAAACGCAGGAAUUGCACCGACGGCAACAGUUUAUUAUUAGGAUCAGAAAUUUGUCCGACGGCAACAGUUUAUUAGGACCUCCCAUAUGAGAGGAGCAGGUUAUUAGAGUUAGGUUUGGGCUCUGACCCUACCGCCACCUCAUUUCUUCAUUGCAGUUCUCCAACAGGUGCUUCGUUGAGCCACAGGAAAUGGAUGAAGUCAUACAGCUUAGUACUCACGCUUACCUGUUCAGGUACAACGAUGCAUGAUAAAAUAUGAGCUCGAUCAAAUUGUCUUAGCUUGUGACAUUAAUAGCAUCCAGAUCAAGAGUAAGAUUAGACUACCUUGUAAGGUGUUGGGUUCAGCCGCCUCAUAUGGUCUGGUCUCAUUCGGUCCAGAUGGUGAAUACACCGAGUCCUAAUCUCAUGGAUGGAUGGAAGCACCUCCCGUGGAUUCGCUUCACCAAUUAAUAACACAACACAUGUUGACAUCAAUGGCUCGCAGCUUAAAUACUUGAACAAUUUUAUUAUCCAUCUAACAAUUUGAACUAAACCAGGACACACAUUUAACUGAUGAAAGUGAUAAUUCCUACAGCUCUUGCGAUAUGGCUGUUAUGAUAGCAGCGCAUAAUCCCUAUUGCCAGAAACCUUAUUCUAUAUUUGGCUCUGGUGAUUAGCAUCAUACGUGCAGUAACAAUAAGUUAUAUUAGGUAAUGCCAAUACUAGCAGCACAUCAUAGUCUAUGUGUAUUGUAAAUAUGUUUCAUGAAAGACAACUAGCAUGGUCAAUGGAACAUGCAUGCACAAGCCACAAGGGGCAAAUAAGGUUACAAACACUAUGCAGAAGUAACUCAGGUGGGAGUUCAUACAUGAAGUUCCAGGCCAGUAGCACCUCAAUAAUUCCUCAACAUGCUGCGGAACAACAUAUGCUCUCUUUGAUUCAUUGAAAGGGUGCCGACACAGGAGCCUUUCACCAAUCUAUAAACAAAUGGUAAAUCAUAAAACCCACCAGCUGUUUCAGAUUUCGUAAAAAAGUAACUAUGGCAUACAAAAUCACAACUGAAAGAAAGAACAUGUAGGUGCCAUGUAGCCUAGAACUUUGAAGUGAUUUUUUUAUGCAAGCUCACCGUUUGUAUUUUUAAGCAUUAACAUGGAUAUUGUUUACCUUUGGACCUGGCUCAUCUUCUCCAGUCAUUAUAUCAACCAAUGGAUAUCCUUCUUUGCCAUACAAUCUGUAGCAUUUUUUCUUACAUGGUAUCGAUACCUGGAGCAGACAACUAAGUUCUCGGUCUGUUUGGAUGCAUAGAAGAUAGCUAACUUGUUUCUGCUAUGAAGUAAUAAGCAUACAUACCUUUGAGACAUCUUCAGAAAGCUUAAUGCGAGGCUGUUUGUUAAUCUCAACUAAUUUGAAUACACAACCAAGUGCAGCUUGUGCAUAGCAUGUAACUAGGUUGGUGCCAAUACCAAAUGCAUCUACCUCAUGGCCCUACACAAAAAUAUGACAAUAAUCAUGCAUAGAUUGUAGUGACAUGAUAAAUGUAAUUAAUGCGAGCACACAUGUAUUUAUCACGGCCUUGUACAUUUUAACCUGCUUGCACAGCCAUGUGUUGUGUUGAAUUCAUCAUAACAAAGAAUUAAACAGAGAUUCCCACUAGCCAGUUAACUGCUACCAGGUAUUUAGCACAAAUAAUUCAUUUAAUAAUAUCUGAUCAUUGGAUCACACAUAUCAUUAGCACAAAUUUACACAUGUCAGAAAUUACAAUAUACAUAAUUUCUAAACCUGUUCUACAAGAGAGAUUUCUACAUGCUACAAUGUCAACCAUUUUGGAUGGUACUAUACGGAUUACCUGCUUGUUCAGGGCAUCUAUAGUUUCUUCAUUAAGGUCAUUGCUUGCUGUGAUUCUUGUUUUCUCAAAACCAACAACUCCAAAUUCUUUUUCAAUUGCACGGAAGAACUUGCGGGUCUCAAUGGACAGGUAUGCUAAAUCACCAGAGUCCAACCUAAUUCCGACUGCCUUAUACCUGCAAUGAAAACUUCUGUAAGUACCAGUGGCAAAUGCUUAUCACUGAUGUUUUCUUUGGAACACUUAACAAUCACUAAUAGAUCAAUGAAGUAUCUGUGACGUCACAUACUUCUGCUCAAAUUGCAUAUUUGACAAUACUAACUCGAAUUUGCCAUUUAUAAAAGCAUGAAUUGUAAAUAUGAAACUGGUCAGCUCCAUCAUGCUGUGGCAUGACAAAGUUGCCCCUAUCCGCAUGUCUGUCCUCUGCUUGGUGUCUGCUCCAUCUGACAAUAUCAAUAGUCAGCCGGGCCCCCUAAGCUCUUGACGGCCCAUGGCCAAUUCCUGUGCUUGAGACCUCCCACCCACCAACAGCCUCUCUGGCUCCUGCUGAGCUUGUAUGCCAUGGCAUUGUUGUAUGCCACCCACUGCACAGUUUCAUACUUACGGACAAACACAGCCGAGAUCGAAACCAAUGAAGACGAACUGCUCUACAGAUCUACCCUAGGAGCAAGCUAACUGAUGCACAAAGGGAGCAAUUGGGAUGAACAAAGCCAUGGCUUGAGCAAACCAAACAGGAACUUGAGUCACACAAGACAAUAAACCCGACAGUGGUGGCUUGUGAGCUCAUAGUGUAGUGCUGCACUUGGUGCGGACAGGGAACAGGAUCCCAACAGCGGUGCUUCAAGACCAUAAAAAAACUUGAGUAAAAUUCACUUGUCAAAUCUUGAGUUAUAGCAAGUUGCUAAUUUAUUUAGCAAAAGAAAAAAGGAUGUGUCUCCAAUAAGUUGCUAUUCUCACUUGGUAAAAAUAGAGGAUGACAGAUGGGACCCGCUCACUUGGUAGAAGAAUAUGUGUCUCCAACAAGUUGCGUUCGGGAUAGCAACUUGGGAUAGCAACUUGACAAAUCUCGGCAGUAGAAACCUCUGAUAGCAACUUGGGAAAUUUAGCAAGUUGAGAUAAGGAGUUGUUGGAGGAGGAUUUUUAUGCUUUUAGCAAAUUUGGUAGGAUAGCAUGUUGAAAUAACAAGUUGUUGGAGAUGCUCUAAAACCGAAUAUAAUGGAAGGUGCUCCCGUUGAAUUAUUGAAAGGCAACCCGUUUUGGAGGUUGGAAGGUCAGGAUGUGUAGAAGACAUCCAGGGGGCAUCAUAAAAUGGAGGCCAGCAGAAGAGCUCAUUGACUACGUUGAUAACUGGCACAUAAGUUCAGAUAGCUCAGGUCUGUGUGGUUGGGAGGCCUAGCUCAGGUGGAUUGGUGGCUAGGAACAGGGAGCUGCAGAAGGUUCAAUGGCUUGUAGAGGACAGCGACGAUGUGUGGUAGCAGCCAUGCAUGGUGGGAUGAGAGGGGCAGAGGUUGGGGGUACUUGGGUCAUUUGAACAGUGUCAAGUGAAUUGGGCAAUCCAGUUGCAGUUCACGCCUUGCCGAUAGACCGGGACUUCCAAUUGUAAAUUGGGUAAUUGGGUUACUUGAGCAGUGUCAAGUGAAUUGGGCAAUCCAGUGGCAGUUCACACUUUGCCGAUAGACCGGGACUUCCAAUCAUAAAUUUAUAAUUUGAGUUUUUAUAGCGGCAGAUCGAAUUUUUAGUCAGACUUAUCAAGUACAAUAAAUAAUUUUUAGAAUCAUUUGUUACUGAAAUAUAUAUAAAAAAUAGACCAACCUAGGAGGAACAAGGUGGCAUUUUAUUAAUAUUAAGAAGGAAAUGGCACCCAAAUUAGCCUUUUUAGACGAGGACUUGAACCUAAGUGGUCUGGGUAUACAUCCACACCCUCAACCAACCGAGCUAGCUCAACUUCCUUGUUGCUGAAAUAUCAAAGCAACUAAUACUCACAUGCAAACCUGGAGUCUCCUAAUACACAUGAGAUGCAUUUCUAGAGUAACCAAAAAAAUGCACUUAGGGUAGCAGAUUCGUAAAGCAAAGAGCCAAGAGAGCAAGUGCUGGUGUUGGUUCUUAUGCCCAAAAUGCUUGUUAGGGAGAAAAAAUCUUGCUAAUUAGUGUUACAUAUCAGUAUAUCACAAUAAAAGUCCCUGAUUAUUCCUAAAUAUUCAUGCCAUCACUUCUAGGUAAGUUAGGCAACAAUGAACCUCAAAACUGGAGCUUGAGUAAAAUGGAAGGGCUAAUGAAAAGACAAGUUUAUGAAAGUGCAAUUGAACUUUAUAAAGGAGGCAACCACAAAGUUUUACUUGUGCUCGUUGAGAAAAGGAAAACCAAGAGUAUUAAGGAGACGAGCUCAGACAAAAUUACCCCAUAUCAUUGAGGGCCAAAGCAACAGCACAGAAGUUUGGCACUCCACUUCUCAUGACCUAGCAGUGGCAUGGAUUAAAAUAUCAGAUAUGCUCAGAUAGAAGUUGAUGUGCUAAUUCUAUCAAGGUCAUCCCUAAACAUUCACUAUCUCAUGAGUAAUCCACUAUCUCUAGUAAUCCUAAGCUGGAUAUAAAUAAUAAUAACUAGCAGGUCAGAAUAUAUGCACUAUGCAGGUUAGAUGCCCAUAAUAUAUCCAUCAGAGACUAAGAAAGCAAAUGAAAAUGCCUUGGUUUUGGUUGCAGGAUAUCGGGAACUGAGCCUAGCUUAGUUGUAUACCCCCCCCCCCCCCCCCCCCCCAAUAGCCAGUUUCAAGUUCUCUUCAACUUGAAUUUGGGUGCCUUUUUUUAUUAACAAUUUCACAGCUCCUCCUAGGUUGGUCGAGCUUCCUUUUUUGGUUUUUUUCUACCUUUUGAUAUUUUUUUUCUCGAACUAUGCAGGAGAGCUGCAUGUCAUUUCAAGAAUCAUUAUGGUGUCUGCAAUGUUUAUCCAGCCCAGGGGAAAAAGCAUUAAACAGAAGAAACAUUAUUUUGCACAUGCCACAGAAAACAUAAAGACACAAUUGCUGACAAAGAUCAACUUACAUCAUAUGUGUCAACCAAGGCCAGGAAGGAAUUUGGAAAUGCCAGUGCAUAUGACGUGAAUGCAGCCAACUCACUUUGGCUCGUUUCUCCAAAGGUACCAUGCAAUGAACUAGAUUCCUGAGAAUAACAAAUUAUAGAUCUUGACUAGAAAAGUUGAAAACAAAUUACUAAGUACCAGGAGUUUUGUAACUUGCAAGAAGAAAAGGAAUAAGUGCACAUGAAAUAUCUAAUUCAGCAUCCUUUUCCAAAGCUGAGUAGGUAAUAAUUAAUCUGUAACAUGAGCAGCACCUGAAUCCUGAUCAGCCAAUUCUGCACCAGAGAGACAAAGUCUUCACAUUUCUUUGAACCAUCAGAACUAGUAAGUGCUUUGUUGGUAAUUUCAUCAAGACCCUGCAAAACGAUACUAAGUUAGAGCAGAAGUCCACUGGGAAUGAUCAGAAUAGAUUUAGCUCUCAUCCAGAACAAAAAUAUGAAUCACAUAGUUGCAAAGUUCAUAGCGUAAUAUCUCAUUGCCCACUUUAGCAUUUGAUCCCUGAGUGCACCUUCAGACCUUCUACAUUUACAUCACGGACAAAUUUCAAAAUAUCCAAUCCUGAAACGUCUUUGUUGGGUGAACACUAUGCAUGCUAGACUUAACAGGAAAACCUCAAAAUGUACAAGACAAGAUCCCUAUCUUCAUUAUAUACUUCACCCAUCACCCCACAUUAUUAUCUGAUUGAAUAUUAGGGGGUAGCAGUGGCACCUGACAAACCAUCUGGGUUAUCAAAUGCAAUCCAACUAGAAAUUGUUUUGCUAAAUAUGCAAACUAACAGAUUCAUCAUUUCUCAAGCUAUGAAAUAGUAGUUUAAUCCUAUAAUUGUGCAAACGAGAAACAGAGGAACUAUGGAACAAAGCAUGCUUGCACUAUCUGAACCUGAUAAACAAGUAUGUACAUUACUAAACAUUGGAUCUAACUACAAAGAAAAGAACAGUUGGAAUACGACUAAUGUUCAAUGUUUCUCAGAAAACUCCCAAAAAUGACAGUAAAUUUAAUCAUUCACAAAGCAAGAUUGGAAUACCAAGAAGUCACCACUAACCAUGAAGGAGCUCACAAAUGCAUGUGAAUGAGUCCCACGUAUUGGUAUCCCAAACAAUCUUCCUGCUGCAACAUUGCUGUUCAGGUAGAUAUCAUAUAUUAUGAUGGUGAAAUCAGACUUUCCUUCCAAGUAAAUUUGUAAAAUAAUCUUCUAGCAUUGCAAGAUCAAGUAUACCUACUCAGUUGGAAAAAUAUGUCACCUCGACAUUCUAUAUGUUACUAUUCUAGAGGGUUCAUUUAGAUUGCAUCAGUACCAUAAACAGUCAAACCUAGGCAGACAAAUACCCAGAAGAGCGCAGAAAAUAGCCAAUUUAAGCUAUGAACGAGUCCAAAAAAGAAAAACUCAAAAGGCUAGAUAGAGUCAGAGCAUAUAGUAUUCUAUAACUACAGCACUGUGUUCAUUGAGUGAACAACGCAGACCUUGUUGCAUCAAAGCCUCCCAUAUAACAAUAUCUUGAUGCACUGAUUCCUCCAUCAGGCCCCUGAUAGAUGAGUAUUUAUAGGUCUAACAUACAAAGGUUAAUGGAUGAGCAAGCAAAACAGAAUGAAAAGUAAGACCCACUUGAGCCCGUCGAAGUCCAAAUUCAAGUAAAUUCUUUGACUUUCCAGCUACAAGUCGGUGUCUUGCCGCAUUUGUGGUAACCAGAGAAGCAUAGUUGACCAGACUUAGAAAUGGAGUUUCAAGAAGCUGGACAACCUGGCACAAAAAUCGCAAUCUCAAUGUAUGGGAAAACUGAAAUAUCAAUACAAGUUAAAAAUGUGUCGAUCUACAUCAGCUACUGUUGUGAAGCUUCUACACGCUAACUUACUCCUGGUACUUACAGCAACAGGUCCUUCAAUUCUCAUCAGUGGAACUUUAGGGAACACAACAUAACCCUCGGGUAUGGCAUAAACCUCCACAUCUGAGCAGUCAAUCGAACGGAGGUACUCAAAGAAGCCAUCCUACAAAAAGAGCGGUGACUUGGAAGCAUACAUUAGUUGGUUGCCAGAAGACAGGAAAGAACCAUUAUUAUAAUAUGAAAAGGGCACAGUUGAGCUGCUAAUGAAAACAAAAAAUGUUCUUCAACUGUACAUCAUGCAGAAUUUCCCAUAACAUGAUCCAGUUUUUUCAACAAGACUAGCAAACCCACCUCACAUGUAGGCAUGACAGAUCGCAGAAAUUUGAUUUCAUCCUCCGUGAACUUGAAGUUAGCAAUGAACCUUAUACAUUCCUCGAGGCCACCAAAGAUGGUGAACUCACCGCCAAAUGGACUUUUCCGGAAGUAGAGAUCAAAACUGAAACAAUUUCAGUUCGCAAUAAGUACAGGUGCAAGAGAGUAAAACAUAACUAGAAGACCGAUACAAACAGAAGAAGUGUGACGCUGAUUUACACACUUGCUAAACUACCCUGCAUUGUACCAAGUACCACCUAGAUAAAGCACUUGGCCUAGUGCAAACGGUUUUCCAUUGCAAACAUCUUAGUAAAACAUACUGAAAUGAAACUACCGAGAAGAGCCCAAAUCUGCUCAAGAGUUUAGCAGACCACAAUUAUCACAGUAGCCCAGCCUCUCGCACGAUUUCACAAAAAAAAAAGUAGAAAAAUAAUUCCAAAACACUACCCAGUGACGUCUAAUUCGAGGCGGGACCAUAUCUAUCAUCAUUCAUCCCCUCCUCACUGGCCUAACAAAUCGACCGCUACUCCGCCGGAGGUCAAGUGUAAACUGACACAACAAAUCGAGGGACAGGACAGAGGAGACAAAGGGAGCAUGGGAGAGUUAGGGGUGGGGAGGGAGCAGGGGGCUCAGGGCUAACACUGCGCGGUCGAGGUGCUUGCCGGCCUUCCAGUAGGCGUAGGCCAUGGUGAACUGGUAGAGGUCGGUGAGCAGCGGCGUCACCAUGGGGUUCGUCGGGCGCGGUACCCCGCCGCCGCCGUGGCUGGCGUCCCCGUUCGCCGCCGCCAUGUGUUGUUUUUUUUACCCUUACUGUGGCGCGCGUCUCGUGCUCCUGUGAUGGAGAGGAACGGAGGAACCGAGAGUAAAGCAGGGGAAGAGGAGUGGUGGUGGUGCCGGCUACGGUGGCGGCUCCUGGAAACCUUUUGAGCCGAAACCGAAAGCGAAAAAAGGCCGAGAUCGCGACGACGCGGACACGUGGCGCCCCCACUUUUACUGACGGGCCUGGUUGGCGUAUGGAGAACGCGAAUCACGACUGGGGGUGAUUCCCUGGACCGGAUACCAAAAUAGAAAAAAAAAUCUGCUAGAAACUCCUACUUUAAAAUCACAAAACUUAACAAAAUGGCAGUAAUAAAAAAAUUUGAGACUUAGAUUCUGUUAGUAUCUCAUUCCCUUACAGAUACUGUUCUACAUAAUAGACUUAUCCACAGAAGAAAACGAAGUUAAGGAUAAUCUUCAGUCAUGUGCUAGGCAGAAGAUGAAACCAGCAAAUUGUGCAUUAAAUAUCCAGAAUAAGCCAAACACAGCUCCUUCCUUAAUAGCUGUAACUUAACCUUGGACUAUGACCAAUCAGUGAUCACUAGUGGUUAUAUAGCAGAAAUCAGAAUUGAGAACAGGAUUAGCAUGAGUUGCAGUUCCAACAUCCACCUAAACCACAGAAUGAGAUGUUUACAUUGCACUCUACAGGGAGCACUAGCUGCAGCAUAGGCAUCGGCAAGGCCAGGAACAGAGUCCUUGUGACAGUCGAUGAACUUUGAUUUGAAAGUCUCUUCUGUAUAAUUCACUAAUUGGAAAAGGUUCAUAUCGCUAUCCAGAAAUCCCUUUUCCUGCAGCACUUUCAUGACAUGAUGCCGGGGCACUAGCCGCUUCUCCAAGCUGAAUGCCAGCAGGAUAGGCCUUUGCACAAUAUACGUGGCUCCAUCGCAGCCUCAUUGAUCAGGAACUCAAUCUUGCGAAGAAAAGUGGCAUCAGAUAAUCCUAGUAUCUGUGGCAUCUUGGACACUGCAAUGGAAACUUCAGACUCAGAACAACCAAGAGUCCUCUUCAAGAACUCAAGCUUGGCAGCAACCUUCUCUUUGGAAAGACUGGAGAUAACAGCCACUGCAUGCCUAAACAACCGGGAAGUAGGAGGCACCCCAAGUUCUUCUGCCCGGAGCAAAAACUCCUUCACGCGUUCCGGUUUGAAGGUAAGCACCCACGAUUUGGUUAAACAUAGCUGAGCAAUGUCCUGUACUCCCCACUGACGAAACAAAGCUACGUUGGGCUUGAUUAUCUUCUCAAGGCCCACCGUGAAGGUAAGCACCCAGGAUUGGGCUUGACGAAACAAAGCUACGUUGGGCUUGAUUAUCCUCUUUGCGACCAGCAGGACCCGAUCGAACAAGCCGAAUAAGGAGAUGAAGAACUCAACCUUGGGAGCGACAUCGCAGAUGCUGAGAGCGUGUGAGGCGACCAUGAGGAAGCGAGUGAUCUGGGGAGUAGACAGACCAACGCGGUCACGGAGAUGAAGAAGGCGGGGAGCGAGGUUCUUGGCGGAAGUGCGGAGGAGGAGCGGUUCCGCGGAGACGACGGCUGCGAUGUCGGCGCGGGAGAGGCCAGCGCUGUAGAGCAGGUCGAGGAUGGCAUCGGGGUUGGAGGCGGUGGCUGGAGAAGUCCUUUUUGUAUAGUAAGGAAAGCUUUCUUGGACACCUGGCGAUCUCUGCUAACAACCAUGCAACCGAGGGCAAGAUGGACAUUUCUCCUGCCUGGUCCCACAUGUUAGAGCUGCAAACGGUAGAAAAUAAACAGAAUGACGCACGGGUGUAGACGAAGAUGAAGUUGGACAUACAGGUACCAACGAAUUUUUUAGGGGCAUAGAGGUUCGACCCAUCUUUUAUAAUGGCUUUUAGGUAGAAAGCUCUCGGGGCGAGGCCGCAGGCGGCGACGAGGUAGUCCUCGAGGGAGAAGGGUGCGGGUAAGGUGGUGGAGGUGGAGAGGAGGAGGUGGCAGUAGCACGCGCGAGGGGGGGGGGCGGAUCGGGGAGGGUAGCGAGGAGGCAGCGCGGAGCAGAGGGAGGAGGCGAUUCCGGAGGCACAACAUGGCGACAACGAAGGGGAGGGAUGGACGGAUGGUGUUGUGCUGGGCUCCUGGGAGAAGGAGGCUGUGUGGGUUUGGAAUUCUAGGCCGCCAAACGGGCACAUGAAUUGGGCCGGAUGGACCGGGCCAUCAAAAUCGAAGGAGAGUUGACGAGCCGCAGCGACCACAAUUUGCGUGUGCUACGAAUCCAUCUUCAGUUCCCAUGUCUUGUAGCACAUGCAGUCUCAACAGUUUCCCAUUGUUGUUGAUGUCUCCCUCUCGGUGGGUAGCUGUCACAAAUCGCCCUGUUGUGCUUUCCUAGCCCAACUCAACUCUGUCACGCUUUGUGUAUCUCUUUUUCCCAGAGCGACCGCUGGCAUCAAUCUAGUAGUGUGAUCACAAAAACAUACAAGGUGAGUAAUGAUGCUAAUCACUUCGCACGGCCUCAUGCUUUAUGAAGCAUUUAGGUCGAAUACUCAUUUUAGUCUCUCAACUGUCGCUUGAGGUUUAGUCUUCAUCUCUGAAGUUUCAAAACGAUUUUUUAGGUCUUUAAAAUUUAUUUUUAAGCUCAGUUUUUUUUCCGAGAUCGGGCCAUUCACCCAUUUUUCUUUAAGCUCAGUUUCAUCCCAGGACUAUCAAAAGUGACCAUUUCAAGUGACAAACCUUGAAUUUUGGCCUCAAUUUUAUCCAUGAACUACUAAAGUACACCUUUCAGUCCUCAAGCUUUUCUUUUCAGCUCAACUUUAUCCCUAGUCCUACAUGGAACGCAUGAUGGCAAAAGGCACUGAUCAAGACAAGUCAAGAUGGGGCUAGAUGAUAUUGGGGUGACCCAAUAGCUGUAUUACUCAAGCAGUAGAUCAGUAUUACUUUUGAGUAGCAGCACAUUCUAAGUAACUGGCCAAGCAGUGGCUAAACUCACAUUGAAGUAGUUUGAGAAUGAGGAUAACAAGUCUGUGUCUACUGAUCGCCACUCCAGCUACACGGACGAUGAUAAUCAGGAAUUCACCAAGCCGUCCAAGCAAUCUCAUAGAAAUCCUGACCAGCAUUGUGGUCUGUUGAUUGCCUCAUGUUGCACUUCUAAAAAUGCAUUUUUUCCUCUUCUGGUGGCUCCAACCAAAAAUUAAACCUUCAGCAUUCCAUUAGGAACGUGGGUGAUAACAACUACAUUGCACUUUGAACGCAGUUAUGCCAGAUGGCUGCAGGUUUACAAACAAUCUCUUAAGUUGGACUCUUGUCUCCUUUGCUUUAGCAAUGGAACACAAGUUUGAUAGUGAUGACUGUCACCUUGAUCUCACUGAGUUAACAACAUUGAGGAAAAUUGGCACAGUGAAAGAUUAUGCCACACUCCCUGCCCUUUUCGAAGGUUCUUUGAAAAAAGAAGAUUAUGCCACAUGUUUUGAGGCCUUGCUGUUUCAAGUGCAUGAACAUCAAUCCCUACGGAUCAAUCUAGCAAUCAACAUAUAUGAUGGGCUUUUCUUUGUAUCUCAUCUCACUGAAUGAUGAAUAGCUUUUGAGGCCUUGUUGUUUCAAGUGUGCAUGCACAACAACAAAUAUGAUGACCUUUUCUUUGUAUCUCAUCUGACUGAAUGAUGAAUGAAAUUAAGGAUGAUAUAUACUAGGGCUAUAGUGAAAGCACAUGUAGAACUGACAGUGGAUAAAGCAUUUAUCAUUGCCAAAAUUCAGCAGAGCCUGUUGGAGAGAACCAAAAGUACAGGUCCUCGGAAAUAUGCACCUUUUAAUAGAACUGCCCAAUAAGCACCCAAGUACAACCAGAAACCCCAACCACAUAUUGGCAAUCUCUAGAAAGAAAGGCAACUCAUGCUUUAAUAGUUAAUGAUCUGGAUCAGCCACUAUCUGAUGAUAUCUUGAACCAAUUGGUUGUCGAAGAAGCACUUGCUGAAGACUUUUACCACCUCUCAUUAUAUGCCAUGACUGCAGCUGACAACUGGGUGCAUCAAAUCAAAUUACGAUUAUUCAUGGGCAACAAGGCUGUGCUUAUGUUACUAGACAGUGGACAGUCGCAGUUCUCAUUCAUUUGUCGGUACUGCUUUUGUUUCCAAAGCUAGGUUACCAAUUAUAUAGGUGUCACCAAAGUGUUAAGUUACCUAGUGAUUAUCAAAGAGAGUUAAGUUACAUAAUUGUGCCUAAAUUACCAAUGACAGUGUUGGAUCUGGAGGUCUAUGAUACUACAUUGGGGUAUGACUGGCUAAAAGCACAUAGUCCCAUAACAUAUCGAAAGAUACGGUUGAAUUCUAGUCUAAAAUUCCUAUCAUUUUUCUAUUUCAGCUGGUUUUAUAUCCCAAAAUAUGUGCUUCUCUGCUAGGGACUGCAUCUAGAAAGUGAACUUUGCUUGUUCAUGGUUGAACUUUAUAUUUGUGUUACCUGUUCUAUAAUGCAGUAACCAUGCACCUAGAUGUUUAGAGGUGAUGCAUUGUGGUAGAGAAACUUUUAUAUGCUCUUUGAAAAAAAAAGAAAAUGAACAAAAGAACACGCUUACAAGUCACAUUUAUUUUUAGCAUUGUUGGUUUACUUGGCCUCCAACGUGUAUGUUAUGAAGCAUCUUUAUUCAUUGGUUCAGGUAAUGUUUACUAUUGUGAACAGAGUUGUGUUAUCAUGUUGACGUGCGCCUGUUUGGUUCAUUGCCCGACCUCCAAACCACCAUUGGCUAGGCCCUGUGCAUGAAAGAUGGUGUUGUUUGGUUACUUGGCUUAGUUCAACCAGGACACAAGGAGCAGAUAUUUGGUUACCUGUAUCAGAUUCAAAAUGGCAAUAUGCACGAAACUUGUUUUGUUGACUGCGUAUAGGUUGGAGUUACCACUUGCUUGCACUGGUAAGACCACUCACAAUGCAAGACUCUAUCACAGAGUCCAAGACAAUUAAUUACAUAUUAUUUAUGAUAUUUUGUUGAUAUAACAGUAUAUUUAUUGAAGAAAGAGGUAGAAAAAAUAAGACUCCAAGUCUUAUUUAGACUCUAAGUCUACAUUGUUCGAGGUAAUAAAUAACUUUAAACUCUAUGAUAGAGUCUGCAUUGUGAGUGCCCUAAGCUCACCACCAGCUAGUCUAAGAGGGUUACAACAGAAAGAUUGCUUUCAAUAUUACAUCAAGUUUGAAAGCAAAAUUACAAACACUAAAGCUUGGACUAAUAUUAUUGCACCCUCCACUAAAAUUAUAAUAUCUUUCCAUGUCGCACCACCCCUCUUUAGAUUAGCUACUGCAGGCUCUGGUUCAUUUGCACGAGUAUCAGUCAUGCGAACAUCGCCAGCAACUUCUUGGGCAAUAAUCCUAGCAGGUGCCACAAGGGAAUCUGUAAACGUAGACUUGCCUACAAGAAUUAAUAAUACUACCAUAUAAGAACGAUGUGGAACUUCAAUAUGUGCAACAUAGAGUAGUACAAUAUUAGGGACAGACAAGCAAAUCAAAAGUUAACAAACACACCAGUAGAUUACAGUCUAGAGUAUAUAGCUAUUAAUUGAUACCAUAUAAAACACAAAAGAUAAAUACCUGAACACAAGUAGUUAGCUAGGCCUAAAAUAGAUAGUGCAACAAGAAAUGAAACAUCUGUUGUAAAAAAAUACAGAUCUUAAUUUUACUUUUUACGGUAGUAGAGCUUAAUAUUGAAAACACCAAAUUAAUAACACACAAGUAUAUUUAAUACAUACAGCCAAUAGAUAAUAUAUAUGACAAUACCUAGAGAAAACGAAUACACUAAAUACAAGAUGAAAAUAAACAAUAAGCCUAUUUCAUACAUGGGAUAGAUAUCUGUGACUAUUGAAACAAUAAGCCUAUAGUAGAUAAUGCGGCAUGAAUAGAACCAUCAGCAGUCAAGCACAGUACAGAGCUUAAAUAUUGAAACAGAACAAGUCUUGACAUAAAAAAGGCUUGAGCAUUGUUACCAAUUUUGUUCUUUUUGUCCAUAAUUUUGUUCUUUUUGUCCAUAAUGACACGGAGAUCUUCAGCCGAGAACUUCACCAUCUUGACUUCUUAUGAAGAUCACACUACCAAUUCCACUAUUUAAUCCUGUUGUUGAAGGUUUGGGUAUUAAUAAGAAUCUAAUAAAAAACAUGAGAAAAUAACUAAACUGGAAACUUUGACACUGACACCGGUAGCCAAAAAGUAAUAACCACUAUAGUUGUCCAAUGUCAAAACCAAAGGAACUUGAAAAUUUUAGAAAGUUAAUAAAAUGUUUUAACAUGCAUUAUUUGUCAGGAUACAAGUAUUCCCUUGUUUACACCACACUCACACUUCACAGGAUUGUAAGCACAAAAUCUAAGAAAAAGGUAAACUGAAAACCAUGAAUGAUGUAUCUUAGUUGAACAAUCUAAGAUCUACUAUCAGAACAGCACAACUUAUAUUCUUUAAAAACAGACCAUCGAGGUAACAGACACGAAACAAUCGAAUAAUAGCAAUUUAGGCUCGAGGCACUUCCAUAUGCAUGCGCGGAUAUGGACACAGUAUCAUGAGAAUGCGGAUAUGAAGAUACGAUUUUUUUUCCAGAAAACAUGAUACAGGCACAUAUAGUAGGAAAUUAGAAUUGUCCUGUAUCCUAAAAGCAGUUGCAACUUAGCAGUAACAUAAAAAUUGGCCUGUAUUCCGAUUGACCUGUUGUAGGUGCUGAAUCCCGUCUCCAAUCUUACAAGUGACAAAGACAGACAAUUCAUCAACUAAUGAAUAUAAAGGACAGGAUCCCGUCCACGAUCUUACAAGUGACCAGACAAAUGAUGGACAAUUAGUCGAUUUACCGUGGGCUGCGUGCGGUGGUGGCAGCUGCUGCUCGUCGCAACUCGCACGUGCUAGGGCUCGCUGCCGGCGCAGAGGCUGGCGGGUGUAUAUAUAGGUGGUAUAUAAUGGGCCAAACAGUGACCAGCCCACAUACUUAAGUGGGCCAAGACAUAUUCUGGUCUGAAAUUCCUGACAUUUUCCUAUUUCUGGCUUGUUUUGAAUCCCAGAAGACGCGCUUUCUGCUAGGGACUGCAUGUAGCAAGUGAUCUUUGCCUGUUCAUGACUGAACUUUAAAUUAGCACCGGUCUGUAUUUAUUUCUAUAAUGUAGUACCACCAUGCACCUUGUGGUAGAGAAACUUUUAUAUGCUCAUUGAAAAAAAGAAUAUGAAUGAAACAACACGCUUACAAGUCAGAUUGCACUAACAUUGUUGGUUUACUUGGCCCUCAGCGUUUAGGUUGUGAAGCAUUCAUUGGUUCAAGCAGUGUUUACAGUUGUGAACAGAUGUUAUCAUGCUUUCACAUACAAAACCCUGGGCACACCUUUGCCGGCGCUAGAGUUUAUCUCUCGAAUCUGUCAAUCAUUCAGCAGUAUUUUUCUCUCACAAUAAAUUAGCAAAUAGUAUUUUUAUCCAUGGCUUUUCUGUCAAGCAAACGUCACUCUGCGCUUCUACUUUUACUUGUUUAAUUGGCAAAAUUUUGGAAUUUCGGAUACCAUAGCACUUUCGUUUUUAUUUGACAAAUAUUAUCAAUCAUGAACUAACUAGCCUCAAAAGAUACAUCUUACAAAUUACAGACAAACUGUGUAAUUAGUUUUUGUUUUCAUCUAAAUGUGAUAGGGAAUCUAAAAUUUUUGGCAAAACUUUUUGAAACUAAACAAGGCCUAACAUACCGACAGUCCACAGAUUACACAUACAUACAAACAAAGAUGAACAGAUAAGUCUUCAAAGUAAUAAGCAAGUGGUGUAGCAAGCAUGAAAAAGCCAACAACGUUGCUAAUGAGCUACAGACUACACAUACAAACAAAGAUGAACAGAGUAAAUAAGCAAGUGGAGUAGCAAGCAUGAAAAAGCCAACAACGUUGCUAAUGAGCUAGCUCGGCAAUGUCUCUAGAGUCUUGUAUUUGGGUUGAACCCUCUAGUUAUAUUUUUCAUCUUUAAGCAAACGAUAUAUCAAUUUUCUAAAAUGAAUAAAGCUUAGGAUGUGUUUAAUAAAAAAAAAGAGGGGGGUGGGGGAGUUGCAAGCAACCAAACAUGCUGAUCUAAGUAUUGGAUGACAUCAUGCAUAAUGCAUCAAAGUACAUACCUAUUGCUAAUUUUGUGGAUUUAGAUCUACCUCAAUUCUAACCUACUACAAUCAACAUGGAUACAAAACAAUACAAGAAUCAAGAGCUGCAAAAAAUGACUAUAUACUUCACAAAGAAAAGGCAAGGAAACAACGAGCAAAAGGGUUAACUGUCUGACAGAUCAUGCACAGCGUUAAUAAGACAGUGGAUAUAAGAAAUACACCCGGAAAAUAAGUAUAUAACCAAUUACUAAACCAAAGAUACCACCUCUGUUUCAUCUGCUACAUCAAAACGGAUAUCAAAAUAGUGUCUCAGGCUCUCAGCACAGAUUGACAAACUACAUGAUGACCAAUAUAGUUCAGAGACAGGUGCAUUCGACAACUAAAACGAAGCAAAAUAUUCAAGUCGUUCCCAUUACAGUACACGAAUUGACGAUUAAACCAGCAGGUGUAACAGUAGAACAAACAACCAAAAAUUUAGAGCUUGUCCUCAAACUCAGAGAGAGGGGUCAUCUGUUCCUUGAGACCCUUCCUCUUGCGGAUAUCCAGCACCAGCUGAGCAGCCUGGGAGCCAGCCUCCAAAGGAUCAGAGCCCAUCAUGUCCCAAUGGUCAAAGACACACUGGGGGAACGCCUGACCAGAGGUUGCAGCCCUCAGUUGGCUGGAGAACCCAAACGACUCGAUGACAGGGAGGUAAGCCUUGAUGUUGUAGAGCGGGGUACCCGGCCUCUGCAUCUCCUCAAACACAUGCCCUCUCUUCUGGUUCAGAACACCGUAGAUACCACCAAGUGCAUUUUCUGGGGCCUGAAUCUCCACCAGGUACACUGGCUCCAGCAGCCUUGGCUUGGCCGUGAGCUGAGAAGCAUAGAUGACCCUCCUGGCAGUUGGGAUGACCUGGCCACCACCCCUGUGGAUAGCAUCAGCAUGAAGAACGACAUCACAGACCUCAAAGCAAAUUCCGCGCAUGUUCUCCUCAGCCAGUGCACCCUCCUUUGAUGCCCACUGGAAACCAGCCACGACAGAAUCCUUGAUUUCAUUGAGAUACUGCACUCCCUUACACAUAUCAACAACCAUGUUUGGGCCAGUGGUCUCAGGUCCAAAACACCAAAUCUUCUUGGCGAGAUCCUUGUCCCACCCAAACUCCUGAGAGAGGAUCUGGGAGCGCACCUUAGGAUCAUCACGUGGGCCAAUGCGGCCAUCAUCGAUGGCCUCAGCGAGACCCUCCUCCAAGGGGCGUGCUUCCAUGUACAGACGGUUGUGCUUGUUGGGAGACUUGCUCAUGACAGUACGGCAGGACUUCUCAAGAACGGUUUCCCGGAAGGACACAACAGGAGGGGAAACAAUAAUUUCAGCACCACCCAUGAAGUCCUCCUGCAGAUCCUUCAGGCAAAUCUCAAGAUGAAGCUCACCAGCUCCAGCAAUGAUAUGCUCACCAGACUCUUCGAUUGUACAGAGAACCAUAGGAUCAGACUUCGCCAGACGCUUCAAACCUUCGACUAGCUUGGGAAGGUCAGAGGCAACCUUGCACUGAACAGCAACACGCACAACAGGGGAGACAGAGAACUUCAUUGCUCUGAUCGGGCAUGCAUCAACCUCCUUCUCAUUAGUGAGUGUAGCGUUCUUCGUGAUGAACUGGUCCAGACCAACCAUAGCAACAGUGUUGCCACAAGGAACAUCCUCAACUGACUCUUGUUUCUUUCCCAUCCAGAUAACGGUACGCUGGACACUCUUCACAUACAGAUCCUUCUUCUGCCCAGGGACAUAGUUGGGACCCAUGAUCCGAACCUUCAUACCAGUAGCAACCUUCCCUGAGAAGACACGACCGAAGGCAAAGAACCUGCCCUUGUCGGAUGCUGGAAUCAUCUUCGAAACAUACAGCAUAAGAGGGCCCUCCGGAUCACAGUUUCUGAUGGCAGUUGCAUAGACAUCAUCAAGGGGCCCCUCAUACAAGUUCUCCACACGAUACUUUUGAGCCUUUGCCGGGGAAGGAAGGUGGAAUAUCAUCAUCUCGAGCAGUGCAGUGCUUGCUGGUAGCCACGUUUGCAUAACACGCUUCAUCAAAGCUUUGCCAAUCAAUUCCUUCUCAUCAGACUUCAUGGUAACAUUGAGCUUUUGCAGCAUGGGCCACAAUUUCUCCUUCUGGUCGUUCAUGCAGGUGUUGAUGAUUUGCUUGAUUGGCUCAUAGCAGAACUGAACAAAUCCUCUCUUGCAGGUAGGGGAGCCUGUGUUCUUGGUUGUCCAUUUCUUGGUGGCAGGGUCAAAGAAGUUCUCACCCCAAAGCCUCUCCAUCAUCUUAGAUUCAUCAACUCCAAACUUAGAUGCAUACAUCUUGGCAAAGUUAGUGAGGGUAAAGGCCCAUCCGUGCAGACCAGCAGAAAAAGCAACAGUCCCCUUCUCUGGGUACACUUGGACGUCACCAAGGAGCUUAUCUUCGUAUGUUGCCAUGAUGACAUUGGCAUUCUCAAUGACACGGGAGAAGGUCUGGUAAGCUUCCUCGCCCUCAACCUGAAGCUCAAGGAAGCACCUGUCCAUCUUGUUCACGGUAAGAACUGGCCUAAUCCUCUCACCAAGGGCUUGGCGAAGCACAGUUUCAGUUUGCACACAGACACCUUCAAUACAGUCAACCACCACAAGAGCACCAUCGGUGAUGCGAAGAGCAGCUGUGACUUCCGAAGAAAAAUCAACGUGCCCAGGCGAGUCAAUAAGGUUGAUCAGGUAUUGGUUACCAUCUCUCUCACCCUUGUAAUUCUUCAGUGACUCGUCAGUCAUCUCAUAGUAAAGAGAGAUACCGGUAGAUUUGAUUGUAAUACCACGCUCUGCUUCAUCUGCACGAGUAUCAGUCAUGCGAACAUCACCAGCAACUUCCUGGGCAAUAAUCCCAGCAGCUGCCACAAGGGAAUCUGUAAGCGUAGACUUGCCUGCAAAGAAUUUAUAAUAGCAUAUAAGAACAGCAAGGAAAUUCAACAUGUGCAUCAUAUGGUAGUACAAUAUUAGGGACAGACAAGCAAAUCAAAAGUUAACAAACACAGUAGUAGAUUACAAUCUAGAGUAUAUAAUUAUGAACAGAUACUAUGUAAACCACCAUAUCUAAAAUAUACAAUGUAUUUCCUACAUGUGAUAAAUAUCUGAACAUAAGCAGUUAACUAUGCCUAAAAUAGAUAGUGCAGCGAGAAAAGAAACAUUAGCUGUAACAGAGCUUAAAUGUUGAAAACAUAAAAGUUAACAACUCAGUAGUAGUAUAUUACAAUCUAAUACAUACAGCCAGCAGAUAGUAUGUAUACCACAAUAUCCAGACAAAAGCAAUACAUUAACUGUAGAUGAAAAAAGCAAUUAGGGGAUAAAUGUCUGUGAUAUAGGCCUAUAGUAGAUAAUGCAGCAUGAAUAGAAGCAUUAGCACUCAGGCACAAUAGAGAGCUUAAAUAUUGAAACAAAAUUAAUCUUGACAUCAAAAUCAAAAAGGCUUGAAAACAUUAAGGAAUGCAUGUAUAUAUAUGCUAUCUAACAGAGCAGUGUUCUGAACAUACCAUGGUCCACAUGAGCAAUAACAGACAUGUUACGAAUGUUGUUCUUUUUGUCCAUGAUACCACGGAGCUCUUCAGCUGUGAACUUCACCAUCUUGACUUCUUAUAAAGGUCACGCUACGAAUACCAAUAUUUAUUCCUGCAGUUGAAAGUUCAGGUAUUACUAAGAAUACAAUAAUAAACAUGAGAAAAUAACUAUACUGAAAACUUUGACAUUGACAUCAGCAGCAAAGAAGUAAUAACCACUACAGUUGUCAGGAACAAAGAGAGGGAAAUUAUUAACCAUUUCAGAAAGUUAAUAAAAAUGUUUUAACAUGCAGUAUUUGUCAGGAUACAGUAUUCCAUUAAUAUACACCAUACUCAUACUUCACAGGAUUGUGAGCACAAAAGGCUAAGAAAAAAGUAAACUGAAAACUCAUACUUCACAGGAUUGUGAGCACAAAAGCCUCGUUAAUCUAAGAUCUACAGCACAACUUAUUUUCCUCAAAAAAAAGAGAGAGACCAUCGAAGUAACACACGAAACAAUCAAAUAAUAGCAAUUUGGGCUCGAGCCGCUUGCAUAGCAUAUGCACGGAUAUGGACACAGUAUCAGGAGGAUACGGAUAUAGAGAUACGAUAUUUUUUCUUUCAGAAAACAUGAUACGAGCACAUAGCAGGAAAAUAAAACUGUCCUAUAUCCUAAAAGCAGUUGCAACGUAGCACCAAUAACCAAAAAAAUGCAGUUUAUUGCGGUUGACCUGUUAUAGCUGCUGGAUCCCGUCCACGAUCUUACAAGUGACCAGACCAAACAAGUGACCAGACCAAACAGACAAUUCGAGUAACUAAGAAUAAGGACAGGAUCCCGUCCACAAUCUUACAAGUGAUCACAGACAAUUCGACUAAGGGACAAGGGACAGUAACAGGGUAAGGGAGAGGGGAAAGAGAAGAAGCUGUUUUGUAGUCGAUUUACCGUGGGCGUCGCCGGAGAUAGAGCUCGCUGCCGGCGCCGGAUCGCGUCGCAGGCGCGGGGGCGGGCGGCGGCUGCGGUGCGGUAGAGAUGGGUGACUGGGGGAGGUGAGCAGAGAUAGGGUUUUCUGUGCUCUUUGUAUAGUAUAUAUAUAGGGGGUUAAUGGGCCAAACGUUUAACGGCCCACAAACUUAAAUGGUCCAAGAGACGUUGGCCCAAAUAUCCGAUUUGUUGAAAAAAAUUAUAAAAUCGGAUUUAGGUGUUCUCUUAUAAAAUUGCAAAACUAGCAUCUUGUCGCUAUUCAACGGCCGAUAGGACACCUGUUGGCUAUCGAAAACUAGUUGGUCCUCCAAUCGGCUCGUCAUUGGCCGAGGCCAGUCUCUUUACUAUUUUGGUUUUAAGAAAUUUUUUUAUAUUAGCCCUUGUUUAGUUUCCAAAAAGUGCAAAAAAAAAUUCAAGAUUCUCCGUCACAUCAAAUCUUACGGCGCAUGCAUGGAGCAUUAAAUAUAAACAAAAAUAAAAUUAAUUGCACAGUUUACCCGUAAUUUGCGAGACGAAUCUUAUGAGCCUAGUUACUCUAUGAUUGACAAUAUUUAUCAAAUACAAACGAAAAUGCUACAGUAGUGUUUUCCAAAAAAAAAUUGGCAACUAAACCAGGCCUAAGCAAAAUAUAUAAAGACCCCCAAAAAAUUAUUAACAAAUAGUUCAGCUAAUCUUUUUAGGAUCUGUUCAUCGAUGGUUUAACAAAUCAAAUGUGAAUAAAUAGUACGCAUGCCAUUAGUGGAAACCCUACGUGAAAAAUAGUCUCUCUCACAUCAUAACCAUUAGUUGACGUAUUAUUUGAUAUAUUGACAACUAGCUUCUCGUCGCCUCCAGCAUGAACAAUCAUGAGCUCUAGAAUUUUUUUAGCCCAAUAAACUAAUAUUUUUAAAAAACAUCACAACUAAAUUUUUAGAAACUACUCGAUAUGGAUUUUGUGCUAGUCAUUUUUUUAGGUUUGAUUAGGUUUUAAAAAUAUUAAAAAUAUUUUUAUCUUUAAUAAUUUUAUUAUGAAAAAUAUAUUCAAUGACUUAUCUAAUGGUACUAAUUCUGCAUGACAAAUAAUAUUAUUUUCUUACAUAUAUUUUAUCAAAGUAAAAAAAUGACUUAUCGAAAGAUAGAGGAAGUAGCUCUUUUAGCCACGUCAAAAUUAAACUGCCAUCCGUCAAUCUUUUUUCAAUCAUCCAUUUUAUCGGCCGAGCAUCUCCCAUUUUUCUUAUAUAAAAUACAAAAAAAAAAUCCGGACUCACUUCCUCUACCUUUGUCGAUCGUGCAUCACACUAUAAAAAGAGCGAGUUUUUUUAGGGAGCUCUCCCUCUCUAAUAACCGUUCGAUCUAAACGUCGUGCUAUAUGUGCCUUCUGUCACCCGUGAUCUUACAUAAUAUAAGAUAUAAGAUUCCUCCUAAACCAAGAUUCCUCCUAGAUUCCAAAAACGGAAUAUAAUAGUCCAUAUUUGCAUAUUGGAGUCCAAUUCCAAUCCGCAUGCAUAGCUUUUCUGAUUUUUUAAGUCCAAUUCAUUAGCCGUUUCGACUUUUUUAAUUUCAAGAAAGAAUUAAGAGCAUAUUUUCUUUUUACCGUGCAUGCUUAAGAUCGGGCAUGCAUGAUCACUUGUUCAAGAAUAUACAUACAAGAUCUACCGGCAAUAGGAAGUCAAAUCAAAUUGAGAUAUAUUCACGCCAAUUUUAAAAAAUCAACCUAUUCAUGACAAUGUGGUAUGAGAUGACCCGUAUGAAUUCUCCUGCGUGAAUAGCGUUGAUCAUGAUUGGUCUUUGAGUCAAUCGGCAACGAAACAAACUUAAUUGGAGAGGCUAGAGCUGGGUUAAGGAGAAAUCUUGGUUUAAUAGGAGUCUUGUAUCUUUCAUGUAAGAUUGAUUUUCCUUUUUUAGGUAUACGAGGAAUCUUGGUUUAGAAAAAGUUUUACAUUUUACAUAUAAGAUCACAGAUGACAAAUGACUCAUAUAGCACGACAUAUAGAUCGAACAGAGAGCCUCCUUGAAAAAACUCACCGCCGCUGGCCGCGGAUUGUUCGAAAAAAGAAAAAAUAAUAUACAUCAAGAUGCAUACAUGCAACUAAUAAAUAAAUUAAUUGGAAAAAGAAAAAUAUGGAUGCGUGGAUGCAACUAUAAUAAAUAACAUCAAUAUGAAUGCAUGCUGGCGUAUGUAUUAGCAAUUAAAAAGAAAAAUAAAUUUGAACACACGUGAUUUUAUUUAUUAUGAUAAACAAGAAAGAAAAAACUAGCAAACGUUUUACAUUGUUUAUAGUACCAUAUUAUGAAUGAAUAAGUGAAAAUAAAAUCAAGGAACAUCUGAUAAUACAAACACGUGCGUGACGCACGUGCAUAUUUGCUAGUGUUUGAAAUCUCCCACUAUAGGUUUCUGCUCGGACUGGGUUCAGCUGAUUAUGAAGUGCGUUAUCUCUGUGUCGUAUCGGCUGAAAGUAAACGGCAACCGGUCUAACAGUUUUGUGCAAGAGCCUGGUCUACGGCAGGAGGAUCCACUCUCCUCCUAUCUAUUCCUACUCGGUGCAAAAGGCUUCAGUGGUUUUGUUGAAGGAUGCUGAACCAAGGGGUAUGAGAGUGUGUCCGAGAGAAUGCCAUGCAUUUGAAGUCUAUUCUACAGCUGUAUGAGAGUGUGUCCAGGAGAAGUCUGCUGUUCUCCAGUCAAAAAAUUGAUGAACCCUGAUUCGCUAUGUGCCCAAGUGCUGCGAGCAAGAUACUUCUCUGAUGGUGAUGUGCUACGAGCCAAACCGAAGAGGAUCAUGUCCUAUACUUGGCGCAGUAUCUUGGCCGGGAUCGAGGUGCUUAAGAAGGGACUGAUCUGGACAAUUGGUGAUGGAAUAACUACCGCUACAUGGACUGAUGAUUGGAUUCCAAGGGAUCAUUUGAGAAAACCAUACACGCCGAGGGCUGCUGACACGAGUGCAUGAACUUCUUGAUCCAACAAUGGACUGAUGAUGUGCUACUUUUUGGCAGGAAGACGAGCGAGGUCAUAUUGAGCAUCCCUGUUCAUGACAGGGAAUGGAUGACAUGAUUGCUUGGCACUACAACAAGACUGGCAUCUCCUCUGUAAAGUCGGCCUACAAAAUCCAAGUUGCCAACAGGGAAAAAAGCAAUGCAGAGCUAGGAGUGGUGGGUCAGUAAUGCUAAUGGCGAUCAGCUGUGGAAGAAGCUAUGACAAGUAGACUGUCCAAAGAAAAUGUUGCACUUUAUGUGGAGACUGUGUCAUAAUAGUUUGGCCUUGCGUGUCAACCUAAAACGCCAGGGUAUCAAAUUGAAUCCCUGCUGUGUUCUCUGUGGGCGGUGUCUGGAUGAGGAUGGAGCUCAUUUAUUUUUCAAGUGCAAAGAUGCAAAGAGAGUAUGGGAAGAUAUGCAGCUCCAUGGUGUGAGGGAUCGGCUUGCACAAGCCAUCACGGCAGUUCUGAAACUGAAGGAAGAAGUGCAGCGAAGGGUGAUUACUUUCAUGUACAUUUGGUGGUCGGAACAAUGCAGAGUUCACGAAGGGGAUGCACAAAGGAGUCCAGAACAGAUCGUCCAGAUAUACUGUAAUAGUCAGUUGCUACUCCGAAGAAUGGGCUUCUCUGAAGAAUAUUUAGGCAGCACCUAUCUCCACUAUAAUUGAAAAACUUUUUGGAACCAGACAAACUUACUCCCCCAACAAACUCAUCCCACCGCAGUCCACUAAUCCGGCCCACUAAUGUUCACCGUAACCAAUCCUCACGCCGCGGUCUCUCCAGGUCAAUCACGGUUCAUCUCAAAAUUGAAUCCACUCCGCCUGCCGUCCAUUUGAAACCACCACCUGCCGUUCAUUUGAAUCCACUCAUCUGCCGCCACAAUCUACGCCUCCCUUCCUCUUCCAGCGUACCAGCGAUCUACGUACAAGCAGAGCACAUACAAGCAGGACACCGCCAAGAGCACGUACUUGACGUCGGCGCCGCCACAUCUACUCUUGUCCUCCACAACGACACGGCGGACGGCAGGGAGACGGACUUUGGAUCGGCAACAGUCAGGUGAUUUUGUGAUUCAUAUACAAGAGCGUACAAACGGUAAAAAAAUAUAAUGCUUUUGCAGAUUAUUUUUGGCUUUUGAUCUUUAGUGUAGACUGUAGGUUACGUUUUACUACCUGCAGGCAAUUUUUUUAUCUUCCUCUAAAUAAUACAAGUAGUAACUAAUAGUACAAGUAUGCGCCGAUCAUUAUAGUGCUUAGGUGUUGCCCCUGCUGCAUGUCAUAAAUUAAACCAUCUAAUCGUCUUGCUUAGGUCCCUGACGGCAACAUGAAACCAUUAGUGAUCUCAGCAUGCAUGGUCCUGUAGUAUAUGCAUAUACAUCUGAAUGGUUGCAUGUACAUCUAAAUCUAUAUACAUAUACAUCUGAAUUAUUCCAUGGUUUCAGAUAUUUUACAAUAGUUGGAUCAUGAAUCAUUUAACAUGGAUUCUGAAUGGUUCCAUGGUUUCAGAUAUUUUAUAUCUGAAAUAUUAUUAAUAUUUUACAAGAGGAAAAAGAGUUGGAUCAAGAAUUAUUUAAUAUGGGUAUUCGGAUGCUCGCGCGCUGACAAAACAAAAAUACCACCUCAUGGAUCUUAAAUUUGUUGUAAGUUGUUAUAUAUAAAUCAUUAUAAAAUAGUAUAAUUCAUUAAAAAUUGCUAAUUUCUACAAAUUCAACAGGAAAUAAUUAGGUUUGAAUGAGAUCCACGAUGUUGUGGACCGGUUAACAAAGUAUAUUAAGAAAAACUGAAAAAAGUACUUGAGUGUUGGCCUGACAUACAAUAUCACAUAAAUGACUGUAGCAAUGUAAGUUAAGUUUUAUUUACUAUAUACUUUGUUUAAUUAAUUUUUUGCACUUACCAAUCAAAUAUUCUAUUUAUGUGUCUUAGAUUCUACUACCGUAUUAUCGAGACGGACUGUAUAUUUUAUUCAUAAUAGACAUGUAAAACAAAAUUGUGCGUAUUAUGGAUCCACUACAAAGACAAACUGCUUUGGCUGGUUUUAGUCAAGAUAUGGUAUAUACAACUACAUUCCAAGCUAUUGCUACAAUGUUCACGUUCGCCAUGAAACUAUCAAAAUCAAAGAGGAACCACUGUAUAUCUUCAUGGCGGCGAGAAUACCCUGCAUGCGUGACAAAGGUUACAUCAAACCACAAAGACUGGUAUUACUUUUGGUUCAACUUUGUUUUAGUUGUAACAAAUAUUUCAGUUUUGUAUGCCAAAUAAACAAUUGAUCUUGUACAGGAACUGGGAGGAUUUCUUGUAUACAAUUUCACGAAGUUGUGGGAUGAUGUAAAAUUGUCACCGAUCAAUAAUGUAAGCAUAUGCAGUCUCCAACUAUAUUUGCAUCAAUACACGAUUAAAUAUUAACAUAAUAAUAUCUGUCAUUCACAGCUGUCAAGAUCACUAAGGACGGAGUUCUUGGCUGACAUUUUGGCGAGUCAUGCAAACAAGUGCUACGACAACAUCCCUGAAGAUAUCCAAUAUUUGAUUAAAAAGUUAGGAAAAUGUAAAGAUAUCUUUAUGUACUGAUGGUUCAUAAAAUGUAUAUAGACUCAAAAACAAUUGUUCAAAAUUAAAAUUCUAAAAAAAUUACUAUGAUUUAUAUAGCAUUUCCUAGCCUUUUCUCCGUUCUGACAAACAUGUAGGGUUAGUCGCGUGCCACCGCUUCUCCACGAGUCGGAACGGAGACACUAGGUCUUGUUUACUUCUAUUUUUUUUUAAAUAGGAAUAGUAACAUUUUCGUUUGUAUUUGACAAAUAUUGUCCAAUUAUGUACUAACUAGGCUCAAAAGAUUCGUCUCAUCAAUUUCGACCAAACUGUAUAAUUAGUUUUUAUUUUUUAUCUAUAUUUAAUACUUCAUGCAUACGUACUAAACAAGGCCCUGAUCCCCUUCUCUCCUUGCACCUAUAACAUGCUAGGGGCAUGUUAGUCUUUUUUUACGAGUGGCCCCAUUCGACGGUUCACGGUCUGUUUAGAUUCAAAUCUUUACAUCUUAAAUAGGUGUUUAAAUCCUUCUUAAAUUUUUUUUAUCUGCAACACAAGACACGAGUCCCUAAGCAAGUUUACACAGUUUUAGGGCUCUAAGAGCAUCUCCAAGAGAUUAGCCAAAUCAUUUUCUAAAGGUAAAUUUGGCUAUUGUUGAAGGAAAAACUUCUCCAACAGAUUUUGUAAAUGACGGUUCAAAUUUAGCAGCUCUCCAUUCCACCUUAUUCGCUCUCUACUUUUAGAUAGCCUACCUCACUAGUCAUUCUUUUAUACAGUCUGUUGGAGUACUCUAAUAUCUUUUUAUCAAAUCUAUUUUAGAGAGCAAUUAAAUCAGUAAAUUUGCCUAGUCUUUUUGGCUAAUCUCUUGGAGAUGCUCUAAGGUCCCAAAUUCCAAAUCUUUACAACCCAAGUUUUACAAGCCCAUGUUUAGAUCUAUUCUUCCAAAAAAUACUCAUUUCUCUAAAAGUUUUGGCUGUAUCUAAACAGGGCCUCGAUGUUAUGGUAGUGUCAUUUUGGGAACAGAAAUUUUAAGGAAGGGUAAAAGAAAGAUUUGAAGUUUCGAUGUCAAAUGGGGAACAACAUUUUUUUAAUGUCAAAUAAGGAUUUUUCUCAUUUAUAGAACUGAGUUACGAUUUUAUAAACAAAUUCAUGCAUGCAUUAAACCCGUCACCUGAGAUAAACCAAAGGAGCACAUACAAAACUAGACAAAACGACCCAAUAAAAAUAGGAAUGAUUCCUAACUCAUGUUCUUAACAAGUAAUUACCCUAUAUCCAAAACUAGACAAGGAAAAAUACGACUGUCCAAGAAAUUGCUUAACUGAUAUCCUAGCUGAUAGCUACAACAUCCAACCCAAAAAUGAGGGUAAUUUUUUGUUGCUCAUUGUCAAGCCAACGUCCAGGCCUAAACUUCACACUCCAACAGAGCCUAGUGUAAUAGCCCAAAAAUUUCUAACCUACCAUGAAUCACACAUGUGCAACACAUUUAGCAUACAUUUGAAUGUUUUUAAUUUAAUUUGAAAAUAAUCCUAAAUUUGAGCAUGCUUCAUUAAGGAACUUUGAGUUUCACUUAAACAUGCAUGCUAAGAAAUUACAUGACAAACUACUAUUUUUCAAACUAUAAAAAUAGAUAUUUUUUCUUGAUUUUUGCGAAAACAUUUUAGGGCUAAAUAGCUUAACCAAAAUCUUAAACAUAAGUAUAUAACAUUAAGCAAAAUUACAAAGGUUAUUAUGAUGCAAGAUAAAAGUAAAAUGGGCCAUGCAUGUUUUUUGGCAUCUACCUAAAAAGUUAUAAGAUUUUACGAGAUUUCUCUGUACAACCGAAUCAUAAAUAUACGCGGCUCAUCAUGGACACAUCCCAAAAAAUUUGGCCAUUUAAACCUAUCUUAAUUCUAUGCACCCUACAGCCGAAUCAUAAAUAUACGGGACUCAUCAUGGACACGUCAAUAGAAAUAUCAAAAGAGCUGCAAAAAUGACUAUACACUUCACAUGGAAAAGGCAAGGAAACAACCAACAAAAGGGUGAAUUUAACUGACAGAUCAGGCAAAGCGUUAUUAAGACAAUAGAAAUGAGCAACACAGGGAAUACAAGUAUGUAACCACUAACUAAACCACACAGAUACCAACUCCGUUUCAUCUGCUACAUCACACCAGAUAUCAAAAUGGAGUCUCAGGCUCUCAACACAGCAGCAUACACUACAUGACCAAUAUAGUUCAGAGACAGGUACAUUAACUAAAACGAGAGAAAAUAUUCAAGUCGUUCCCAAUACAAUAGACAAAUUGACGAUUAAACCAGCAAUAGUAACAGUAGAACAAACAACCAAAAAUUUAGAGCUUGUCCUCAAACUCAGAGAGAGGGGUCAUCUGUUCCUUGAGACCCUUCCUCUUGCGGAUAUCCAGCACCAGCUGAGCAGCCUGGGAGCCAGCCUCCAAAGGAUCAGAGCCCAUCAUGUCCCAAUGGUCAAAGACACACUGGGGGAACGCCUGACCAGAGGUUGCAGCCCUCAGUUGGCUGGAGAACCCAAACGACUCGAUGACAGGGAGGUAAGCCUUGAUGUUGUAGAGCGGGGUACCCGGCCUCUGCAUCUCCUCAAACACAUGCCCUCUCUUCUGGUUCAGAACACCGUAGAUACCACCAAGUGCAUUUUCUGGGGCCUGAAUCUCCACCAGGUACACUGGCUCCAGCAGCCUUGGCUUGGCCGUGAGCUGAGAAGCAUAGAUGACCCUCCUGGCAGUUGGGAUGACCUGGCCACCACCCCUGUGGAUAGCAUCAGCAUGAAGAACGACAUCACAGACCUCAAAGCAAAUUCCGCGCAUGUUCUCCUCAGCCAGUGCACCCUCCUUUGAUGCCCACUGGAAACCAGCCACGACAGAAUCCUUGAUUUCAUUGAGAUACUGCACUCCCUUACACAUAUCAACAACCAUGUUUGGGCCAGUGGUCUCAGGUCCAAAACACCAAAUCUUCUUGGCGAGAUCCUUGUCCCACCCAAACUCCUGAGAGAGGAUCUGGGAGCGCACCUUAGGAUCAUCACGUGGGCCAAUGCGGCCAUCAUCGAUGGCCUCAGCGAGACCCUCCUCCAAGGGGCGUGCUUCCAUGUACAGACGGUUGUGCUUGUUGGGAGACUUGCUCAUGACAGUACGGCAGGACUUCUCAAGAACGGUUUCCCGGAAGGACACAACAGGAGGGGAAACAAUAAUUUCAGCACCACCCAUGAAGUCCUCCUGCAGAUCCUUCAGGCAAAUCUCAAGAUGAAGCUCACCAGCUCCAGCAAUGAUAUGCUCACCAGACUCUUCGAUUGUACAGAGAACCAUAGGAUCAGACUUCGCCAGACGCUUCAAACCUUCGACUAGCUUGGGAAGGUCAGAGGCAACCUUGCACUGAACAGCAACACGCACAACAGGGGAGACAGAGAACUUCAUUGCUCUGAUCGGGCAUGCAUCAACCUCCUUCUCAUUAGUGAGUGUAGCGUUCUUCGUGAUGAACUGGUCCAGACCAACCAUAGCAACAGUGUUGCCACAAGGAACAUCCUCAACUGACUCUUGUUUCUUUCCCAUCCAGAUAACGGUACGCUGGACACUCUUCACAUACAGAUCCUUCUUCUGCCCAGGGACAUAGUUGGGACCCAUGAUCCGAACCUUCAUACCAGUAGCAACCUUCCCUGAGAAGACACGACCGAAGGCAAAGAACCUGCCCUUGUCGGAUGCUGGAAUCAUCUUCGAAACAUACAGCAUAAGAGGGCCCUCCGGAUCACAGUUUCUGAUGGCAGUUGCAUAGACAUCAUCAAGGGGCCCCUCAUACAAGUUCUCCACACGAUACUUUUGAGCCUUUGCCGGGGAAGGAAGGUGGAAUAUCAUCAUCUCGAGCAGUGCAGUGCUUGCUGGUAGCCACGUUUGCAUAACACGCUUCAUCAAAGCUUUGCCAAUCAAUUCCUUCUCAUCAGACUUCAUGGUAACAUUGAGCUUUUGCAGCAUGGGCCACAAUUUCUCCUUCUGGUCGUUCAUGCAGGUGUUGAUGAUUUGCUUGAUUGGCUCAUAGCAGAACUGAACAAAUCCUCUCUUGCAGGUAGGGGAGCCUGUGUUCUUGGUUGUCCAUUUCUUGGUGGCAGGGUCAAAGAAGU